AGUCUUGCAAGGUGGAUUCCUUGUAAAAUGUGGAAUCACUUGUGUUGGUAGUUAGUUUGAGACGUUGAUUGCUUGGGGAACCCAUUCUCUUGAAUUCACGUAAGAGAUAGGUUUAUGUUGUGUGUGGUAUUAAAGGUCCUAGAGUGGAAUAAGAUCUUGGGUUGUUAAUAUUAUACCAUCCAUUUGUCUAUCUUCCUAUCUUUGUCUUUUUGUAAUCUUGUAACCGAUUCUAUGUUGUUAUUGUAAAGUCGUGCACGUGUUGUUGUUCUUCACAUUGUUAUUUUUCAUUUUUAUCUUCAUAAAUUAUUGUUAACAUUAGCUGUGGUUCGGGUUUUGGUGCCAAAGACACCACUAAUUCUUGUAUUCUUGUUGUUGGUAGCGAAUUCGAGAGUGGUCUCUUUCUUGGUCCUCGAAUCCUUAAGAUUAUGGACUGAUUUGGUGUAUAUUUUUGUGUCUUCCUUAUCGAUUUUGUAUCAAUUUAUCAAGAUUCUAUCACAUUCAACAUCAUCAAUGAAUCAUAAUUAAUCCAAAUACACUUUAUCGAGAUUAACCCCUCCCAAAUUUAUUUUCAACCACACGAUUAACCAAUUUCAAUAUAGAAUCAAUCCAUCAGGUCACGACAAUUAUAAAAGCUCAAAUAUACUCAAAACACACUACCAAAUCACAUUAUCAACCACGCUGAGAGAAUAAAAAUGAGUAGAGUUGAGAAUUGAACCUUAAAAGAAUCUUUCAAAAUUAAAGUAUUAUUCUGAUUUAAAGGUAGAAUCUACUUCUGAUAACCAUAACUCAAACCUCAACCAAUGAAACUGCAUCUCGAUACGAACCACCAAAUUGACAAUUCGAUCUCAAACUUUGUUCUGCCCAAACCCGAUUAUUUUUUAUCUAUUUUUGACGUCGACAUUGACAAGUAUUAUUAUUUUUUGGUGGAUUUCACCGGAAGUUGGAAAUGGGAGUCGGAUUAUGAUGUUUUUUGGUGGGUUUUGCCACUGAUUUUUGAUGUAUUUUGAAAUAGUAUGGAGCUGUUUUACUAUUCUCUACUUUGCCAGAGCUCCGACAAGAUCAACAGUAGCGAGAAUCAAAGAAAUAAACUGGUGGUAGCAAAGUUUUUCAAUGAAAACUCAUCGGAAAAAUCUCUCUCACAUUUUCUCUCUGUUUCAUUCUAUUCUCUCUUUUUUUCCUCGAUUUCAAUUCUCUUCUCCGAUGGGGUGUGUAGUUAUGAACUGUGUGUGCAUAUGUCAACAAAAAAUUGAAUUGCGUGUGUAUUCCUCUAAUCUCCACAUCUGUGUGUGCCUAUAUUGGUGUGUUAGUGUUGUGUGUGAAUUUUUUGUGGAUAUUGAAGCUAUGAGAGUGAAUUUAUGUAUGUGAAUCAGUGUAUUUUGAGUAUAUGUGUAGUGAGGUAAGUCUGUGAGAAUUGUGAGAGAUUUUUUUUUUGGGUAUUUGUGAGGUGUAUAUAUUCUAUUGUGUGUGUUUGUUGUGAGUAUUAUGUUUUUAUAUAUGUUCCAGUGAGUGUGAGUGUGUAUAUGUACAACUUUCUGUAUAUGAGAUUUAAGGGGUGUGUUUAUUAUAUGGUGUAUUUUUGUUAAUGGAAUGGUGAGCUAAAAAAAAGUUUUCCUCAUUCUAUUAUUGGAAGUGUGUGUGUAAAAUGUGAGGGGGUAAGAACGUGAGUAGGAGUGGGAUAGGGGUAGGUUGUUAUUUUUUGUUAUGAAUUUAUUGAGAAUUGAUUGUUCUUUUGUGGAAAAAUUAUCACAUGGGGGUAAGGUUCAAGGUAAGACGAUGGUAAAUGCCAAAAAGUUCUCUUUUGGGAGGGAAAAAAUUAUGUGUCUACAGAUAAAGAUUAUAAAAGAAAAGAUCAAAGAUCAAAGAACUUACGCAACUUCAAGAAAGAAUCUCAGUGUGUCUCAAUCUUAGUCUCACAAAGCUUUGUACUUCUUAGUUUACAAUAGUUAUACAAAGAAUAAGAUUGAUUCAAUUUUAUAAUAUAAACUGAGGCCGUUUCACAAGAUCUGAAAAAUAAAAUAAUUCUUCAGGACUUGUUUACCACCAUUGUACUCGAGCUCCACUUUGAUAGAUCUAAGAAAACUUUAAAACCCAAGGGGACUGAAAGUAGGCACCACAUUGGUAUUCUGAACUAGGAUAAAUCUUUGUGUUUUCUAUUUCAAGUUGUUUAUUUACUUAUCUACUUAUUUAAAUCUAAUCUGGUUUGUGAAGUAUAUUGAUUUGCAGGAUAGUCGAUUGAGAAGACUCAACAGUUGACUCAUAGAAAUUUUUAAUUCACCCCCCAUCUCUUGAACUUCAUAUAUAACGUUGAUACACUUUUAAACAUUAUAUAUACAUAUGCAUAUAUUUGUAUAAUUUUGUAUAUUAUUGUGUAAUUGUAUAUAUACCCCUGAUAUAUACAAAAUUAUAAGAGUUGUAUAAUAUAUGCAUAUACAGUACUAUACAAAUAUUAUACAAAAAUUUUGAAUUUUUCUUCUUUAUUUAUUCAAAAAAAUAAAUUAACCUUGCCAAGCUCGAAACACUCAAAAUAAAGUUUAUUUGUCUAUUUCAUUUCCCCAAUACAUACUCAUUCUUUUGAAUCAACACACACUUGAAACAAAGCUUGUUUGCAAAAUCGAUGGAUCACUUGAUACGAGAAUUUCUAGCUCGAGACCUUUCACACGAAGCCAAGCGCGUGAGUUGCAACGACUCCAAGCCUUGUUCACAUCCUUGGCCUUGUGUGAGGCCCUUAUGAGCCCAUCCAAGGGCCUAUACUUAUUAAAAUAUGAAGAGGCCCAACAAAAUACCCCAAACCCACCCACUUAAUGCCAAGGGUAUUUUGGUUUUUUGUCCCUCCUUUGUAAUUGACUAUACAAGUCAUUUGUUAGGGCUAGUCUUGUGGUAGUUCAUUCAUGAUAUUUUGAGAACUCAAGACUUGUAAUAUUUUGAACUUUUCUCUUUCAUUGGAGAAGCUCAAAACUGAAAUUCCCAAUUGGAGUGACACUUGGGUUGAAUCUUGGCUAGAAACUAGGAUCUUGAGGUCAUUGAGUUCCUCUUGGUCUAAUUAAGAGCUUGGUGAUAAUAUUCUUUAAUCUUAGGGUCCUUUCAUGUUGUUAGGGUUCUUAGAUUCUUGAUUAUUAUAUGUCAAGUUACUAUCUUUAAUUUUGUAAUCUUGUUGUUUGUGUGGUAACAUAGUGAAGCCGUGUGGGGCUAUUUUCGAUUCACUAUAGUUUAUGCCACUUUGUUUCUCUUGUUGUUGUCAUUGUAAUCUAUAUCAUCUUGUCAUUUUUGUAAAUCUUGAAGUCUAGUGAAGCCGUGUGUGGCCUAUUUCGAUUCACUGGCAUUGUUGUUGUUUAUCUUGUUAUUCUUGUGUUGGCUUGACUCUCUUGAUACACACUCGCUUUUGUAUCAUUUAGUAUCAAAUCCAUAUUCGAUUUUGUUUUAACAAGAUCAAUCUUGGUCUUGGUACUUGAAAACUACAAAAAAAAACUGAAAACUAAAAAAUUCCAGAAACAGUCAAAUCUGUCCGUUGUUGUGUUCUUGAUCAAAAAUUGUAUUCUUGUUGUGUCUUGGCAAGAUUUUUAAUUGUCUUGAGUGUUGUUUCUAGUUUUAGUUCUCUUGUUCACUAAAACUUUGAGUCGAUCUAGAUUUGAACUCUAAAAAUUGAUGUUGUUAUUGUGAACUUGAACUUGGCUGUCCAUUGUUGAACAUUGUUGUUGUGGUGGAUUGUUCUGGCCGUGGUUGUUGUUGGUUGUUGUUGGUGUUCUUGUUGUUAUUCACCCUUUUCAUCUUUGUUAAAACAAAAAGUGAACAUUAGAUCCACAAAAGGUGAAACACCAAGUUGUAGUAUUUGUUGAUGAAAGACUUGAUCACAUCACUCAAAAGACUUGACAACCACUUUUCACCUAUUUUCCUUGAUUUAAGGACUUGUUUCAAGGAGAAAGUACCAAGAAGUUAAAGUCUUGUAUUAAACUUGAAAAGGAAGCUUCAAUACCAAAUUUCCCUCCAUUAACCAAUUCCACCAUUUCCAAAUUAUAGAUUGGUCAAGAAUUGAAAUUGGAGACUAAAAUUCUGACAAAAUCGAGGCCAAUAGUGGACUGCCACAUCACUAAAUUACUGUUCACACAAUAUUUUGAGUUCAAAUUUUAGAUUUCUUAGUUUCAUUUUAUUGUUUCUUAGUUUCGUUUGUUGGUUCGAACACUAAUUGACAACCUAAUACAUUCCUACUAGCUUGUUAAUUAGUCCUUUGAAGCUUUGUGUUCAUGUCAACGUUUGUUUGUGUGCUUUUGUCAUUUGAAUACGUUGUAACUCUUGGCUUUAGUCCGACAAGAAUUCUUUGAGUUUCCAACAAAAAUCCACUCCAAACAAGAGCAUACUCAUACCUUAAUGAUUCUACUAGCCAAUUUACAACACUUGUGGAGCUCGAGUGUGAGUGAACCAAAAGAGUGUGAGUGAGGAGAGGGAUUUUUAACUAACUUAUUUGUUGUUUGUGUAGGUGAUACCUUGACAAUGGAGGNNNNNNNNNNNNNNNNNNNNNNNNNNNNNNNNNNNNNNNNNNNNNNNNNNNNNNNNNNNNNNNNNNNNNNNNNNNNNNNNNNNNNNNNNNNNNNNNNNNNNNNNNAAGUGACGACUAUUAGUGGGAGGUUAGAACAAGUGGAGAGUCAAAGGAACUCUCGUCCUUCUAAUCCUCGAAAUGUUUCAUCAAGUGGACAUGAUAGAAAUUCCUCCGCCACUAUUACUCCCGAAACAUGGCCACAAUUGCCAAUUUCUUCAUUAGCUCCCCUAAAUGCCGCAAGCCAAACCACUCAUAACAUUCUAAAUCGAGACUCCAAUAGACCAACCCAUUCCCAAAUACCUCAAGUUCCGCAAGAGGUACUCGGACGUCAACUGCCUCCACAAAACCCAAACCCCCUUUCCAAGCUCCACUAAACCAAAGACCACCACCUCCAUAAAAUCCAAUUCCUCCGAAUCAAGUUCCAAAUGACCAAAACCAUCCCAUCCACCUUGAGGAAUAUGGUAGAGGGUAUUAUGAAGGGUAUGGAGCCUUUGAAGAUGCCUACAUGAGGAAAGAGGAGAUGAGAGGGGGUCAUACGAAUCCAAAGAGAUACUGAGGGUAUGGAGAAAGGGGAAAUCGACACCUAGAGAGAGAUGUGGGCAUCAAUACCAUCAAAUUGAGUCUACCUAUCUUUAAGGGUGAAAGUGACCCCGAGGUGUAUCUCGCUUGGGAAUUAGCGUGUGACAAGGUAUUCCAAGAGAAUGAUAUUUCAAAGAAGAAGAAGAGUUGUUAUGCCAUAGCCCACUUUGAAGGCUAUGCUAACACUUGGUGGGAAUACAUCAAUCGAUUUGGCAACGAGUUGAUAGAUGGGCAACCACCACCAUGGUUUCGAUUAAGGUAUCUAAUGAGGCAAUGGUACCUUUUCGAAAGUUAUCGUCAUGAGUUGUUUGCGAGGUUGUACAACUUACGACAAGGGAAUCGAAAUGUUAUGGCAUACUAUGAUGAGUUUCAAUAACUCAUGUUGAAGCUUGACCAUCGAAGAGAACAAAUCGGCCAUGACAUUAUUCGGUUCAAGUGUGGGUUGAAUAAGGAGAUUGCUACUCACUUGACUCUCCAUAAAUUUGAUACCGUUGAAGGCAUCUUUUAAGCGAUCGUUGAAAUUGAAAGAGAACUUAAGGAAAGAACAAGUUACAAAGCCAAGGGUCAAGCACCCUCGGGUUGGCCGAGGGGUAAGGAGGUUGCUUCCUCCACCACGGGUUGGCACAAAAACAAAGACCAACCCACCACUACAAGGCAACCCGAGGCCAAGGCAAUGGAAAAAUAUCCGCCAAGGCAAGAGGCUCACAAGUAUCCUAAUCCUAAGGGGUUCCAAUGUUUCAAGUGCCAAGGUUGGGGACAUAAAGCUCAUGAAUGUCCAAACCGACGCAAUGUGAUCCUAAGGUAAGGAAGAUUGUAUUACCUUGGUGAGGAAGUGGGUCUUAAAAAUGAAGAGAAUAAGGCCAAGCCUCAAGAUGGAAAGGAACCCAAAAAUGAGCCACAUGAUGAUGACAAUGAUUGUGAAGAUGCAUAUCCACAAGAAGGGGAGUGUGUGGUUCCAAACUUUGUAGUGAGGCAUGCUAUAAUUAGUAAGGCGAUAGAUGAUCCUAGCCAACGGGAGAAUCUAUUCCAUACUAAAUGUCUUGUGAAGGGAAGUGUGUGCACUAUGGUGAUAGAUAAUGGAAGUUGUGCGAAGGUGGUUAGUGUUGCAAUGGUGAACUUCUUGAAAUUGCCGACUACACCUCACACUAGUCCUUACAAGUUACAAUGGUUGAAUGAAUGCAGCGAGUUAAAGGUCACAAGGCAAUGCGUGAUACGUUUUAAGGUAGCAAACUACCAUGACGAGGUGCUUUAUGAUGUGAUACCAAUGCAAUAUUGUCACUUGUUGUUAGAAAGGCCUUGGCAAUACGAUAGGUUGACCAAACAUGAUGGAAGGUCCAAUCAAUAUACACUUGAGAAGAUAGCUGAAAGGUUGCUCUUCAUCCAUUAUUGCCUUCCCAAGUGAAUGAAUUACACCAAAAGAUGCAGGAAUUGAGGAAGAAGGGAAAGAAGGCCGAUAGUGAGGGGAAAAGAGGGGAAUCUGAGAGUGAGAGAGUAGGAGAAACCGAGGAGCUCCUAAUUUCUAAGGGAAAAGGGAGUGUGGUGAUGAUGUCUAGGAGGAAAGAACUAUUUAUGGAUCAUGACGAGGACACUCCGAUGCUUCUCUUGGCUCAUUAUUUUAAUACUAACCCCAGUAACGUUUCCAUUUCUCCUCCUAUUUCUCAUGUUGUGCAGGAUUACGAAGAUGUCUUCCCAAAGGAAUUACUAUAAGAAUUGCCCCUACUUCGGGAAAUUGAGCAUCAAAUAAAUUUUGUGCCGGGUUCACAAUUGCCCAACAAACCGUCUUAUAGGAGCAACCCGAUGGAUACCAAGAAAUUGCAAUGCUAAGUUGAGAAAAUCCACAACAAAGGGUAUAUCAAGGAGAGUAUGAGCCCUUGUGCGGUCCCGGUGCUACUAGUGCCCAAGAAAGAUAGGACUUGGCGUAUAUGUGUUGAUUGCCGAACCAUUAAUAAGAUAACGGUAAAAUAUCGUCACCCUUUCCUAGGUUAGAUGAUAUGCUUGAUGAAUUGAAUGGUUCGUGUUUGUUUUCUAAAAUUGAUUUAAGGAGUGGCUAUCACCAAAUUCGUAUGCAACCGGUGAUGAAUGGAAAACCGCCUUCAAGACCAAAUUCAGUCUCUAUGAAUGGAUGGUUAUGCUAUUCGGCCUAACAAACGCUCCAAGUACUUUCAUGAGGCUAAUGAAUCAUGUGAUGAAGCCAUUUAUUGGAAAGUUUGUUGUUGUAAUACUUUGAUGAUGUGUUGGUGUAUAGUAAGUCCUUAGAUGAGCAUGUAAAACAUUUAUAAUGUGUGUUUGAUGUCCUUCGAAAGGAGAAGUUAUAUGCCAAUCUAGAAAAGUGUUCUUUUGGUGUCCAUGAGGUUGUAUUUCUUGGGUUUGUGAUGAGCUCAAGAGGGGUCGAAGUGGAUGAAUCUAAGAUUGACACCAUUAAAAAUUGGCCAACCCCCAAAACCAUAGGUGAAGUGAGAAGCUUCCACGUGUUGGCUAGUCUUUAUAGACGUUUUGUCAAAGGAUUUAGCACCAUUUCCGCCCCCUUAACCGAAGUGAUUAAAAAGGAUCGACCUUUCAAGUGGGGAAAUGAACAAGCUAGGACCUUCGAUGACUUAAAAGCUAUGCUCAUCUUGACCCCUUUGCUACAAUUGUCGAAUUUUGACAAGACUUUUGAGGUCGAAUGCGACACUAGAAAAGUCGGCGUAGGUACGGUUCUAAUGCAAGAAUUGAAGCCUAUUGCCUACUUUAGCGAAAAGCUCAAAGGAGCAACUCUAAACUACUCUACGUAUGAUUUAGAGUUGUAUGCCUUGAUUAGAGCCUUGGCCACUUGGCAACAUUAUUUGUGGCCUAAAGAAUUCGUGAUCCGAACGGAUCAUGAAUCCUUGAAGAAUCUACGGGCACAAGACAAAAUUAACCGGCGGCAUGCCAAAUGGAUUGAAUUUCUUGAAACUUUCCCUUAUGUUAUUCAUUACAAGAAGGGUAAAGACAAUGCGGUUGCCGAUGCUUUGUCUCAAAAACAUGUGCUUGUGUCUACUUUGUCAUCUAAGUUGAUGGGGUUUGAAAGCCUCAAGUCUUAAUAGCCCGAGGACCCUCACUUCACUCCUAUCUAUAGGGAAAGUGAAGAGUUGGAUAGGGAUAAGUGGGUUACGGAUAGAGGUUCCCAUCCUUAUACCAAAUUUGAUGGAUACUUAUUUAAGUGUAGACGAUUGUGUGUUCCCUUAAGUUCGUAGAGAGAAUUGUUUGUGAGAGAAGCAUACAAUGGCGGUCUAAUGGGCCAUUUUGGGGUCGAGAAGACCCUCGGAAUUUUGGAAGAAUAAUUUUAUUGGUCUAGAAUGCACAAGGAUGUGGUCCAGAUUUGUGGCCAAUGUAUUGAGUGCAAAGGAGCCAAGUCACGGCUCCAACCCCAUGGAUUGUACACCCCGCUGUCCACCCCUUUGCAUCCUUGGCUUGACAUAACAAUGGACUUCGUGUUGGGAUUACUGAGAACUAAAAGAGGGUGGGAUAGUACUUUUGUUGUGGUGGAUCAGUUUUCCAAGACGGCUCACUUUAUUCUUUGUUCUAAAUGUAAUGAUGCACCUAGUGUAGCCUCUUUGUUUGUUGAUAAUAUUGUAAAACUUCAUGGUGUUCCGAGGACCAUAGUGAGUGAUAGAGAUUCUAAAUUUCUAAGCCACUUUUGGAAGUCUAUGUGGGGUAGGCUCGGUACUAAGUUGUUGUUUUAGACUUCAUGCCACCUACAAACCGAUGGUCAAAUAGAAAUAGUAAAUAGGACCUUAGGGUCUAUGCUAUGGUCCAUGGUUAAGGUAAAAAUGACUUCUUGGGAGGAGCAAUUACCGUUGAUUGAGUUUGCUUAUAAUCGUGUUAUACACUCAAGAACAGGGAUGACACCCUUUGAGUGUGUAUACGGCAUCAACUCCCUUACCCCUUUGGAUUUAACCCCUUUACCAAGUGAUCUUGUGAUAACCUUAUAUGUAAGCAAAUGGACCGAGGCCAUGAAGAAGCUACAUGACAAGGUAAGGUUGCGGUUGGAGAAGAAAAACCAAGAAGUUGCAAGGCGAACCAACAAAGGAAGAAGAAAGCUCAUUCUUGAACCGGGAGAUUGGGUGUGGGUGCACCUAAGGAAGGAUAGAUUCCCAUCUAAAAGGAAUGCUAAGUUGAUGUCGCGGGGUGAUGGCCCAUUCCAAGUAUUAGAAAGGAUCAACGACAACGCCUACAAGAUUGAUCUACCCCCGGAAUAUCAAAUGCACAACACUUUCAAAGUGUGUGACCUCUCUCGGGUGGAAACAGUGGAGGAUGGCAAUGAUCCAAAUUUGACGACAAAUUCCCUUCAAGAUGGAAAGGAUGAUACGAGAAUUCCUAGCUCGAGACCUUUCACAUGAAGACAAGUGCGUGAGUUGCAACGACUCCAAGCCUUGUUCACAUCCUUGGCCUUAUGUGAGGCCCUUGUAAGCCCAUCCAAGGUCCUAUACUUAUAAAAAUAUGAAGAGGCGCAACAAAACAAACCAAACCCACCCACUUAAUGCCAAGGGUAUUUUGGUUUUUUGUCCCUCCUUUGUAAUUGACUAUACAAGUCAUUUGUUAGGGCUAGUCUUGUGGUAGUUCAUCCAUGAUAUUUUGAGAACACAAGACUUGUAAUAUUUUGAACUUUUCUCUUCCAUUGGAGAAGCUCAAACCAAAAUUCCCAAUUGGAGUGACACUUGGGUUGAAUCUUGGCUAGAAACUAGGAUCUUGAGGUCAUUGAGUUCCUCUUGGUCUAAGUAAGAGCUUGGUGAUAAUAUUCUUUAAUCUUAGGGUCCUUUCAUGUUGUUAGGGUUCUUAUAUUCUUGACUAUUAUAUGUCAAGUUACUAUCUUUAAUUUUGUAAUCUUGUUGUUUGUGUGGUAACAUAGUGAAGCCGUGUGGGGCUAUUUUCGAUUCACUAUAGUUGAUGCCACUUUGUUACUCUUGUUGUUGUCAUUGUAAUCUAUAUCAUCUUGUCAUUUUUGUAAAUCUUGAAGUCUAGUGAAGCCGUGUGUGGCCUAUUUUGAUUCACUGGCAUUGUUGUUGUUUAUCUUGUUAUUCUUGUGUUAGCUUGACUCUCUUGAUACACACUCACUUUUGUAUCAAAACUAGACGUAUCUCUCACUUUCAAAAAUUACACAAAUAUCAAACGCGAUACAAAGGGUUUACACCAAGAAGAAAGGAAAAGAAAACUAUAGAAGGAUACUGCAGAAGUUAUAUAUGGUCUGGAGUAAAUUCAAUCACAAAGAGGUCACUAGUUGCAUAGGACAAACUGUGUACACCUAGAUCUUGUGGUGGACUUAAUCUCACUAAUCUAAAACUCUGGAACAGAUCUGUCAUAUCUAAGAGUGGUUGGGAUUUGGCUCAUAAGGAAGAUAAGAUAUGGAUACGAUGGAUUCACUCCUACUACAUUAAGGGCCAAAACUUUCUCACAAUGCCAAUUCCAAAGCAGACGAGCUGGCUGGUGAAGAAAGUAAUUGAAGUCAGAAGGAGUUGGAGCUAUAUACCAUUCACUACCGAACAAACGCAGCUCAGCUUUAUUAGAAAGGUUUACUUAUAGUUGUUUUGUAACCUACCUCGAUUCCCUUGGAAAAGCUUGAUGUUUCAAAAUGCUGCUAGGCCAAAAGCUUUAUUUACAAUGUGGUUGUACCUACAAGGCAAGUUGUUGACUGUGAAUAGACUUAUAAAAUGGAAGAUUGAAGCAGAUCCUAUGUGCUCUUAAUUCAAAGAUGCCAUGGAGAAUCGAAAUCACAUCCUAGUAAACUGUGUUGUUAUAAAAGAAGUAUGGGGUAAAAUAUUAAAGUAGAUGGGCAAAUAAACUGUGAUAUCAUCAGAUUGGGAUCAACAUAUGCAGUGGAUACUGCGACAUGGAAAAGGUAGAACUAUUGUUGCCCAGGUAUUUCGAAUGAUUUUUGCAGAAACUUGUCAUGCUAUAUAGAGUGAGAGAAACAACAAGCUGCAUGAUAAUAGAAGAAGGACUACAGAAACCAUUGCAAGAGAGAUAGCAUAUGUCUACACUGUAAGAGCUCCACUUAAAACUCAGUUGUUAAUUAAUUCAUGGAGAAUGUAAGUACGGAUGAAAAUAUUUUAGCAAAAUUAUGGUAACUGAGGUGAGCAAAAAGGGUGCUACUAUAGGCCUCUAUCUAACUUCUUAUGAUAUACUGGAUAGAUUUUUCUUUUUUUGAACUUAGCAUUUUGUGUAUAGUAUGAAUAUAGAUUUGUAAUGCUCAAUGGUGAUUAAUAAAAAAAUUGUUAGUUUCUUCUCUCUCAAUAUCAACCUCCAUGAACACCACCUCACUUUACUCUUAAAUUCCACAACACCAAAAAACCAAAUAGCUCCCUCCAUUACUCAAUUUUUCAAUUUCUCUAUUUUAAUUACACCCAGCAAACAACAUAAUUCAAUACGUGCCAUUAACUCUGCCCGGUGAAAAAUAUCAAUUAAACUCAUUUUUUGUCCCUUUCAGAGAAUUGACGCACAUCCACAACAACGAUCUUCCUCCACUAACCUUUUCAAAACCCCAUCGAAAUACCUCCAUUAAUAAUAAUAUACUCCUCCAUUCUCACUCACUAAUUUGACAAAAACAACCUCACUGAAAUAAUCAUCGAAAUUCCCACAAUUUCAUCACCACAAUUGUCUAACACCAACCCAAAUCUCUAAAAGAUUUCCUUUACAUACUCAACACCAUUAACGACCAAACAUCUGUAAGGUACAAGAUGAAAUGGGAGAUAUGUGUGUGAGAGUAAUAAUUUGACUAAGAAUGUAAAGUAACUUUCUUUUUAAUUCAAUUGAGCCACAUUUGGUAAUGUAACAUGGAGUGAAUUAUAUUCUGUAAUGUAACAUUAGUAGUUGCAUUUAUUUUGUAGUUUUUCCUACUUAAAAAUUGAAAUCUCAUAUUGUUAUAUUCAGUGUUUACUAUCGGUCAAUAUUUAGUAUUUGUGCUAGGGUACUAAUAUCUACAAAUUACAUAUAUACACAAGGUAACUUUACCUUAUUACAUAAAAUCUCAUAUUGAAAAAGAAAUUACAAAAAUCCCAAAGUAAUUACUUAAAUCCCUUAAAUUCACUCUUUCUCUCUCAUCCCCCUCAUACAUAUCAAAAUACCAUAUUUUGCUCCUAUUUUAGUGCACUGAUUUUUGCUCCAUAUAUGUGCUCCUUUAUUUACGUCUACAAUCAAGCUAAUGUAAUAUUAAUACUCUCUCAUCCCCCUUCUAUUUGCGUCACUUUUAUAAUUGGAAUUGAAGAUGUACACUUUCAAUUCACGUAAUAAAGAAAAUUGAAUCAUUCUUUUUCCUUAUUAUCAUCUAGCCAAUGUAAUGUUAUAAUAACACUAAUUUUUUCUUAAAAUUAUUAUAAUCUUGUAGAUAAUUAAUGUAUAAGGUGAAUAUUUUAUAUGUAUAGUGUGAUAUUAUAUAUUUUGAAAGAUUAUAUUUUAAUGUAUAAAUUAUAAUAUAUCAGACAUUAUACAUUAUUUAUUUUUGGAAGACUAAUGUAUAAUAUAAUUCUUCUACUAUACAUUUCAUUAUGUUAUACAUUAAAAAGUUCUUAUUACAUUUAAGAGGCAUUUUAUGUAUUAUUUGAUAUUAUACAAUUAGAAAGUAUUAAUAUUGUAUAAAGUUACAUUAUACCUUCUGAUAAGGAUAUAGAAGUAUACAUGCUUAAUGUUAAUACUUAAAUGUAUAGUAUGACAUUAUACAUUACAGCAAAUUAUUUUUUAAAUGUAUAAUGUGCCCACAUGUAUGUGCAACUAUUGUAUAAUGUUAUCUUUUAAAUUUCAGCUUAUCUGUUAUUUGCAUUGAUUCAGUAAAUACAUCACAUAUUGAAUAAUAAAAUUGAAUAUAUCAACUGUAUUUGGAUAUAUAUUAUUCUCAUUUAACUAUUUUGUUAACUAAUAUUUAUUUUUUUUCAUGGAUUUUAAAUUAUUUAUAAUAAAUUUAUAUGAUUCUGUGAAUGAAAGAUAAUUUCUUUCGUCAAAACAUACUUUGAAAAUCAAUUUUAUAGGAGUUUAAUGGAUUAUAUCAGUGUGAACACAAAUAAUCCAUAGGUAUUAAUAUUACUCCUACUAAAGUAAAGGAAAGAGAAUGAAAAAUAAAUACUCCCACUAGAUUUUAUAUUAUUUUAUGUUGUUGUUACAUAAUUUUUAAAAAGGUUUUAAUUAAAAUUAUAUUUUAUCAUUAUUUAUGUAAUUUAUUACUACUAAAAAUAAUAUAAGAAUGAAAUAAUAAGACUUUUUUAUCUGUUAAAAAGAAUAAACAACAUAAAAUAUUAUAAAUGAGAACAAUUAAUAGUGCUGAUUAAGAAUUUUUUUGAAUUGAAAUCUCAGUUACUAUAUUUAAUCAUACACCACACAAUGAUAGAUAAUUAAUUGCGUUAAUUAAGGUAGAGAAAGAUAAUAUCUGAUUUCUCUUUCCAUAAAAAUAGGCAAAUUUGUUUUAUCAUACAUUGCAGCAAUGUAUAAGACGCUACCUAAUGUAUAAGUAUAUUUUACAAAUUAGGCAGAGAGAAAGCCUAACGAAAUUAUAUAUAAAUACUUUCACUAUAGAAGGGAUUUAUGUGGUUUAUACUACUAAUAUUUCUCUUUUUAGAUUUGGUUAUUAUUUUUUGUUGAUUAUAAGUUGAUUUCUUUGGACCAAGAUUAUAAGUUGAUUUCUUUGGACCAAACUAUCAUUUGAAAUCCAUUUCAUUUGAAAAAAAUAAAUAAUAAUAAGACAAUAGUAGAUUGCACAAAAUUAUUUAAUUGAUUAUUUGUGUUCUCAUUUAAUAAAUAUUUAAUUGAUUAUUUGUGUUCUCAUUUAAUAAAUAAUGUAUAAUAUAAUUGUAUUAAGAUCGCAAUGGAUUACAUAAAAUCAGAAAAUUAAUUUCAAUUAAAUAGAAUCAAUUUUGUGAUCAUAAUAUAAACUCAAGUGGCUUAAAUUUAAUAUCGUAAAUUUCAAAUAAAUUUACGACUAAAAUAGUAGUCAAUAUUAAGUGUUCUUUACCACAAUAUGUAUAUCAGUUAUGAAAUUCUACAUAUACUUACUAUUAAAAUAGUUGUCAAUAUUAACUAAUUUUCACCUUGAUUUAAUCUGAUUAAUUUGAUUAUAGUAAAAUUAAUAUUACAUUACAUAUUUACUUCCUAUAAAUCUAUCCUAAUUUUAUAAUUACGGAAGCAAUUAUUUUUUCCGUUGUUACAUAUGUACUUCCCAAAAAUUUCUCCUAUUUUUAAAAUUUGAUUAUAUUUAUUACCUCUAUAAUUACGGAAAGGACUCGACAAAAAAAAAAUUAAAUUUUCCUAAUUACAUAUUUACUUCCCAUGAAUAUCUCAUAUUUUUAUAGUUUGAUUAUAAUUAAUUGAUUAUUAAUUAUCUUUAUGAUUUUGGAAAAGACUCAAAUAAGGUAGCAACUGUUUUUUUCCUAAUUACUGAUAUACUUCUCAAAAAUCUCUCCUAACUUUAUAAAUUGGUUAUAGUUAAUUAAUUAUUUAAUUGUCUCUAUAAUUUUGGUAAGAACUCAAAUAAGAUUAUAACUAUUUUCCCCUAAUUACGGAUCUUCUUAUAUUUAUUCAUUUAUUAUUUCUUUAUAAAAAUAGGUCAAUCUUAAUUGCAAUUAAAGUUGAAAUAUUAUUUGUUUUUAAAAUGUGAAGUGGCUAGUUCUCAUGAUAUUACUUGGUUUAACCUCAGCUAGAUUGUCAACAACAACAACAAAAAAACUCAUCUAGGUACUCUCCUCUUUUAUUAGGUAUAUAAAAAAUUAUUUUUUCCAUUAAUAAAACUAUGAUAAUGUAGCUUUGUGGAGUGCGAGGAUUGCUUAGUUGAUGGUUGAGCACCAAUCAAAUCCCUUGAUUUCUGUCUAAGGGGUUCAAAUUUUGAAGAAAAGCUAGCAAAAAGAGGUGCACAUCUAUAAUAUAUAGAUAAAGAAUUAUUUUAAUCAUUUAUUAAUAGUAUAAUUUUUUGUCUUAAAGGGUUAGGGGUUCGGAUGAACCCAUAGUGAAAAGCUGGCUCCGCUUCUGCAUAUCCCCUCCAAAAAAAAAAAAAGAAAAAAACAAAGGACAACAUAACUAAACGUCUAAACCAUAUAACUACUUCUCCUUAAAUAAUGUAAACAUGGUCUCAUCAAAAGUACUAAAUUUUGGUAAACAUACUAAGUGACUUUGAUAUAGUGUAUAGAAAAUCAUCUCUUCUUAGUCUUGUAAACAAAAUGAGUAGUUCAGGCUUUAUCAUAAUAAUUUUGCAUACAUGAGGUACACAACCUAAGAGACAAUAAAGCAAAUGGUUGUCCCCCCCUCUCCUAACGUUUUCAAAUAAAUCAAGAUCAAACAUUAUCAACACCAAUUGCCUACUUUCUUAGAGUGCUAACGAUAAAAUCAUCUUUUUGUUUGCUUUUGUUACAAAAAUACUUACAACAAAGAGUACUACGGACCCCUCAUGGACUCAAAAGAUUUGGUUCCACAUACUCCCACUUUUUUGGUCCCUUUAAAAUUUUGUUCUUAUAAUUUCUAUAGAAAAAUAACGUAGGUGGUUAGCUUGAAGAAUAAGUAAAUAAGCAAAAGGCUAGCUACAUAUAGAUAGUUCACUUGCUAACUUGGGUUAGGCCAAGAGAAUUAUUGUUUGCUUGCAACUAUCAUGAAUAUUAAGUUUGUAAAGCUCAAAUAGCAUAUUGAUAAAUAAGAAAAUCAAAUAUUGAUCUAACUCGACCCCAAAAGUUAGUUCAUGAAAUAAAAAAAUUUUAUUUGUUCAUCCCAAGUGAUUUUACUAUAUGCAGUGGCGGAUGUACAUGUAUUCCAGGGGGUUCAUUCGAACCCCCUUCGUCGGAAAAUUAUAUUAUUUUUAUAUGGUAAAAAAAAAUAUUAUGUAUAAAUAAUAGAGGCUGAACCCCUUCGACUAGUCCAUAUAUGUACUACUGAACUCCCUCACUAAAAAUCCCGGAUCCGCCCCUGACUAUAUGAAUGCUCAAAAUCUAGCUCAUGAGAUGCGAUUAUCAAUAAUGUAACAUUGCUAUAGAGGGCGUACUUUUAUUUAUUUAGUAAUAUCUUUUAACAUGCCUCUCACAUUCGGCUUGCUUCUUUUUAGUGGAUGAUAGUGAGACUCGCAUUCAGAAUCUCUGUAUGAUAUGUGAAUAUAUAAUCAACUCAUCUAAGAGUUUAAACUAUUCGAGUUGACCAUACUCUUAUUUCCUUAAUUAUUACUCUUCACUGUGUAUAUUAAAUAGCUUACCUUCCGUUAGUUAAGUUAGUCAUGCUAAACAUUAUAAUGAUACCAUUUGAUUAAGAAACGGAAAAAACUGUACUAUGUAUAAAUUGUAAAUUUGAAGAUUUGGUAUCGUAAAAAGUAAAUUUUAUUGGAUGCGAAGUGGUGAGGUGCAUUCUUAAAGUGGGCAUUUUGCACCAUCAUUAGUUAUUUUAUAACACCAAAACUUUCUCCAAAUUUGUUCUUAGAAAAUGACUUGAGCAUAAAUAUUCUCAUUUUCAAUUGUAUCUGGAAUAAUUAAUAGGCAAUAAGUUAAAAUAUUUUUAAAAUAAUUAAAUUAAUGAGCUUUUUCCAAAAGCAAAUGUGUUUCUCACAUUAUUAUUCUUUGCUUAAGGACAAAUCAACACGAGAAAAAAGAUAGGGGGAAGAGUGGAAACCCUUUUUCUAGAGAAAAUGAGGAGAGCACUAACUAAAGAAUUUUUUUUCCAAAAAGUCAAAGUCAUUAUGCCAUUGUCAAAGAUAAUUCUUCAAUCUUUUUGACUUCCAAAUUUGGAGAACAAAUAAAAAUUUGGAGUUCACAAGGUGUUACAAAGACUAAAGAAAUGAUUGAAAGAUUAUAAUUUUUGGUCCCCAUUAAAACUUAAAAAUAAUAAUUUAAUUAAAUAUAUACGAAGUACAUAUAUAAUGUUACAUCUCCUUUUCUUCAACCAUUAGUUAGGAAAGGGGAAAUCAAAUAAAGUAACGAUACAAAUAAAAAGAGGGAAUUAAUUAACAAGUGGAAGAAAGUUUCAAGAGUCCUAAUGGUGCAAAUGCUAUCAAUUUUACCUUGGAUAUACAACAAAAAUAAUUAGAUAUGAUAUGUAAUUACUCCUUCUCUUCCUUUUACUUGCCUUCUAAUUUCCAAACAAAAUGAGAAGAGAAAAGUUAUCGUGGGAAAAAUUAUCCUUCCACCAUUAUGGUCUAAACAAGAUGCAAAGAGAAGAUUGGUGGGGGUGGGUCGUGGGGGGGCUGGUUUAACAAUGUCCAAUUGUUUAAAUGAUUUUAAUUAUAUGCAUUGAUAGUAAAUGUCGUUUUACACAAUUAAUGUAAUACUUAUAACAUGUUUAUCGAGUAUAAUUUUUAUCAGGUUAUUAAUUAAUAUUUAAAUAUGAAUAUUUAUAUGAAAUUACCAUAUAAAAAUAACUUGAUUGAACAAUUUUUAUUUACAGUACUGUCAAAUCUUAAAAUUUAAACUCAAGAAUUUAUCUUAGCACAUAAUAGUAAAUCCAUGAUCACUCUCCCAAUAUUUAGACAACUUAGUAAUUAUAGAUUUCCGAACAAGGUUGCUAGUGUAUCAUAAAUCAUACUCACAAUUCAAGCAGGAGCAGUAUAUUAAACUCAGUCUAUCUCAUAUUAAUUGUCCAUAUUAUUAAAAAUAUGUUUCAAAUUACUUGAUAAUUUAUAGAAUCAAGAUAGAAUUAAUUUAAUUUUUCUCAUUCUUCCCUAAAUUAACCGUUGUAUAAAUAUUAUGAAGUUUUUAAAAAGUUUUUUCCAUCAUUACUUUUGGCAUUGAUUGAUAAGACACACAAAUAUAAAGUAUAAUAAAAAGAUAUAAAAGAAAAAUUACUAAACGUAUUCUUAUUGUUUAUAAUUUUUAAAGAAUUUAUAAAAAAUUAGGAAAUAGCAACUAAUAUAUAACGGAGGGAGUAGUAACAACAACUCGAUGUUAGGUAGCUGCGGACAGAUAAAUAUCAUAGAAGACUUGGAAUACUAAAAUAUAUAUGCCAUCAUGAAAAUGUGCAUAGGAUACUAAAAACAAAAUUAACUUCUUUCUGCUUUGAAUUUUUUUACAAAUUUUGCUGUUGCAAUUUGAAAAUGUUACACUUCUCGAUUUGUUCCCUAUUUGCUGAUCGAAUUGAUGCUUCUUAUCUUUUGUUCAGUGGUCAAUAAAUUGUACUAUCCAAUGGAUAUUCUUGCACAACAGAUUUUUAUUUUUAUUUUAUUUUAUUGGCUCAAAUUUUUUCUAAUGCCUUUCUGCAAACUUCAUCUACUCUUGUUCAUUCUGUGAAUCUUGGUUCUUCAAAACAAAAACAAAAAAGGAAAGAUAGCUUGAGGUGCUUCUUUUCCCGUCAUUUAUAACCUGAUAAUAAAGAAAUAUAUUUUAAAUUAUAAUAAUUCAAUUUGUAAUUUUGAUCAACAUAAUAAUGAAAGAAAAAAAUCAAAAGAAUUAGAUUUUCCUAAUAUUAUUCAAAAUUGUUGAAUUUUUCCUCUUAUAGUCUUUCGAUUUAUUCAUUCUUAAUUACGCAUGAACACAUACGUGCACCGCCUCUUUUAUUGUUUUAGUUUUUGUUUGGGAGGAGGGUGAAAUAAUACUCUUCUGUCAAUGAUUACUUAUUCUUAUUUGACUACAUUUUAAUUUUUAAUAUAAUGAAUAAAUAAAGGUGGACGGAGGAAUAACCUACUCAAAAGCGUGAAACAUAAAUUAAAGGAGCAUGACAUGUUUCGAUACUUAAAGGAGUAAUUAGACAUUUGCAUUGGAUCUAUAACCAAAGACUCCAAAUAAUUGUCAAAAGUCGUCCAUUUACGUUCAGAAAGACAAAGAAGAUGCCAUUACUGUUUCCCAAAAUUCAAAUGGAGGACACAUGUCAACUAUUGUAAUAGCAAGAAGCAUGCAAAAGAGGAUCAGUCAACUAAAUUAUACUAUAUAGUACGUCUCGACAUUAUUCUAAUCUUUGGCAGUAUUAAUCGGACUUUAAUUUGUAAGCCUCUUCUAAAAUAUGCAUGAUACUUAGAGUUAUUUUUCUUCCUAGGAAGCAUCAUUUUCAUGUUUUAACUCACACCUUGUCGGACAAGAAAGGAAAGUAAAUUAGCCAAAGGAAAUAGGAUGGGAAAACAAAAUUUGGUGAUGAAGAUAAUUUUUCAUCAAAAAAGUUUAUAUACUCCAUAAAAUAUAAGAGUUAAUCCUAAAUGUGAUUCUUUUUUUUUUUCCUUUUCAUAAAGGAGUUAACUAAAAUCCUGAUUAGAGGCAUGGUGGGAGCCAGGGGUAGAUCCAUGUGUAAUUUUGGGGUGCUUCGAUACCCAUAAAACUCGACGUAGAUUAGAUAUAAUUAUACAAAAAAACACAGAAUAAAUGGUAUAAUUUAUUAAAAAUCACCUAGAGAACAAAUAUAUGGUUGGGUGCAGUGGCUUGAGGAUGUGACUCAUAUGUCCAGUUUUCUAGGUUCGAAUCGCUACAGCUACAUACUAUUUUUUAUAAAUUUUUUUAAGCACCCACAACCUUAAAUUCCUGGGUUCGCCACUGGUGGGAGCUGGGUAAUAUUCUUGUACCUUUAAUAAGGGCUUUCAAGUUCAAGAUCCGUGGAUAAAGAAAAAAAAAUAAUAGAUAAUGUUUCUUUCUAAAUCUUAAGCGCGUGAAUUUGAAUUAGAUAGAGUUAAUGAAUAUAUAUUAUUAUUAUUACUAGUUCAGCCGUACGUAUCUCGCACGUAUAACUUUUGAUUAUUUAAAAUUAGACGAUUUUAUCUAUUACAAAGGUUUUUAAUAACGUACAAAAAGUUCCAAACAUAUAUUUUACUAUAAGCACAUAUAUAUUUUACUACCGGAAGUUUCAAGUGCUUAAUGGAUACUUUUGCGUUUGUUAUGCAAUACCUCUUUUCAUUGCUGGUAGAGGCUAAGAGAAACGCAUCAGUUCGAAUCAUAUUUGUAGUACAAUUGUUUUUCCUCUACUUAAAAUCUUUACUUAUUUUUUAAGUUAAAUCAUUAGAAAAUUUUUUAUUACUUAAAACUUUUAUAAAUUUAAUAUUUCUUAUAUUUUUUUUAUUCUCACUAGUGCUUUCAUAUUUGUUUCUAGAUUUUUUAAAUCUCUUUAAAAUUAACUUUAGUUGAUUUAGAAUUCUUAAACUAAUGAAAAAGAUAUUAGUUGUCACUAAUUCUGACGACUUCUAAUAACGAAAAGUUAAAUAAUAUUUCUACGAUCCUUCACACUUUUAAUAUAUUUUAGAUUAUAAAUUAUAGAUUAAAUAUAAACAUAAAUAUAAAUAUAAAUAUAAAUAUAAAUAUAAAUCAAACAACCAUGGUGGGUUGAUGGCAACUUAUAUGCUACUGUCAUUCUCUUAUAAUAAAAGUUAAUUACCAAAAAGAAAAAUAUAUGCUAGUGUCAUUUCAUUAUGUAAUUUUCAAGUAAAUUUGAUAAAACAAUUAAACUGAAGUAUAAAACAUUACAAAAAAAAAUGCACACAUAUGUAACGUACACAUAGAGUCCGUUAAACAAUAAAAUUAGGAGUUAUUUUUUCACGUAAAAUCUACCUACACUAUUGAUAGUAUUUUCUUCUUAUUAUAUAUUUUAGGACUUUAAAAUUGUAAAUAGUUAAAUAAGAAGAAAACUAAAAAUAGAAUAAGCCAAUAUUUAUAUUUCUUGUAAAAUUUGAUUGAAACUAUUACUUAAAUAGAACUGUAAAAGUUCUUUUUAUAUAAGGGAAAAUUUUAAUUUAUUUAGAAGUAUUAAAUAUUAUAAUUUCUUGUCUAGAUGAAAUAAGGACUUUAAUUAAUUUUAAAAAUCUAAAUAAUGUAUAAUUAGUUUAUUUUUAUUUUUUUAGAAAAAAUCUCAACCUAAAUAAUGUAUAAUAUUGACUUAUUUAAAAACAAAAAUCCCAAACCAACUUUGGUUUUUAAAAAAAAGGACAUAAAAAACCAUUUUGUAAAAUAAAUAAAUCAAGUUAUAAUUCUAUAUAAAGCAAAAAUAAUAUACAUUAAGAAUAGUAAUAACAUGUUCUAUACUAACAUUUGGGCAAGUUUGCAAAAAUUCAAAUUUUAGCUGAUUUUAAACUAUUACGUUUUUAAGGGUGUUCACACUUUUAAUAUAUUGUAGAUUAUAGAUGUAGAUAUAGAUGUAGAUGUAGAAGUAGAUGUAUAUAAGAUGUAGAUUUAUAGAUUUUUAAUAUCUUCUUAAAAUCAAAUUUAGUUGAUUUAGAAUUCUUAAACUAAUAGAAAAAGUAUUAGUUGUCAUUAAUUAUGAUGACUUCUAAUAAGGAAAAAGUUUUAUUAUAAAUAUAUUUAAUUAAUUUUGAACUCUUAAAUAUUAGAAAAACAAAUAGUGAAAAGAUAAUUUUGCCUAAAGCAAAGACUUUUAAUGAAAGACAAAAAGUUAAACGAUAUUUCUAAAGUCCUUUACACUUUUAGUGUAUUAUAAAUUAUAGAUAUAGAUAUAAUUAUAGAUUAUUAUUGUGAUAAAAGUAAUAAUUUUUUUUUAAAAAUGAAGUGAGGCGCUAAAGGAAGUUAUUUUUCUUUUCAUUAAACUAAAGUAUAUAGUAGACCUAUUUACUUUCUUCUAUAUUAGUUACUUUACUUAUUCUCUUUGCAAACCAAAUAAGAAAAGGAAUCCCUUUUUCUUUCCUUUAUGUCUAGUUCUCAAACAAAGGACAAGCCCCUCCUCUCUCUCUCACUUUUUUUUUUUUUUUUUUUCUUUUUAAAAUAGUAGAAAGGAGGGGCUGAUGUCGAAGUUUAUAAUUGGGAGGAGAAAAUGUGAAAAAAGAUAAAAAGAAAGAUGGCGCCAAAAGAAGUCUUAUGAGGAGAAAUUGCUUUUAAAUUGUUAGACCAAUAUACCUGCAGACUUCCAACUUUGGGACCCUCUUGCCCACUUCAAAAAUUAUGCUUAUUGUAAAAUAACUUAAAUAUAUACCGACAGCAUAAAUAAUAGUAGUAUUUCAUACCAAUAUAGAUCACAACAAAAUUAAUUAAUAAGUUGAUCUUAAUGAGGGAAACACUAAACAUAAAUUAAAUGAAAUGGUUUUAUCUUUAGUGAACAACACCAGAAUUUUCAACAAGGAGUCAAAAUAUUAAAAAAGUAAGUACUCAAAUAAGUUAAGAAAAUUUUACAUAUAAUAUAUGUACAUUAUUUGUUUUACUUAAUUUACACUAUAUAAUUAUUUAGUAAAGGAGUGCAUUGACACUUUUCAACAAGGACUAUCAGUAUGUGUAAGUUAAUUAGAAGGUACUCCCUCUAUCACAGUUUUAAGUGUCUUAGUUUGAUAGAACAUAGAGAUUAAAAAAUAAAAGUGAGAUUUUUUAAUUUUAUGACGUUAAAUUAAAGAAGUGUAUAGUGUUUUUUAUAAUCUUACACUUAUCAUGAAGGAGGUUAUUGGAAUUGUAAAAAUUACUGAAUAUAGAAAGAGAUAUUUUUUUAGAAAUAAACGAAAAAGAAAGUAAGACACUUAAAUUAAGACGGAGGAAAUUCUAUGAUAUAAUAAAAUAAACUCCAAACCCUUGCAUUAGCAUAGUUCUCUUAACAUGUAUGUAUUGGCUUGGUCUAUAUACCGGGUGCGUGUAAGUGUUUUCCCACCUUGUACUAUCCUCAAACCUGCCUCCCCUUUUCCAUUCCUAUACUCUUUUUUCUCUCUUGUUAAAUACUCUUUUAUUCUUUCUCUACUAUAUAUACAUACCAACACUUGACUUUAAUCUUUAAUUUACCUUUGUGCAUACCUCUCUCCUCCAACAAGCUAAGUGUUCAAGUGUAAUAUACCACAAUUAGGAGUCCAAGAUCAUAAUAAUGAAGGAGUGUGGGAAGAAUAGCAGCUCACCAUGUGCAGCUUGCAAGUUAUUGAGAAGAAGAUGUGGUCAUGACUGUGUCUUUGCACCUUAUUUCCCUGCUGAUGAACCCCACAAGUUUGCCAAUGUUCAUAAGGUCUUUGGUGCUAGUAAUGUCAGCAAGAUGUUACAGGUUCCACUUUCUAUAUAUCUCUUUCAAUUAUUUUCCAACUUAACUUUCUUUAAUAUAUAUGCAACUUUUUUCAAAAAAAAAAAAGGGCAAAUCUUCAUCUCUACUUCUAAUUGGGUAUCAACACCUUAGUUUUUGUUUAUGGGGUUUUCUCUAUGUGAAUUAUAGUUAGAGUCGUGGAAUCAGUCACUAAUACUUGCAUCAGGACUCGGGAUAGACCGAUUACAUCACAUCCCUCCUCUCUUGAAUGUUUCCCUUUUUUGGACCCUACAUGAGAGUAUACCAUACUUUUUUUCUGAUGUGGGUGGGUGAGGUGGGAUAGGAGGGGGGUUGUCAAUUAAGGGUAUAGAGUGUGAACACGAUUUAGCAUAUAAUAUAAUGACUUAAGAUAGAUCUAAAGAUAAGGUUGUUUAGCAAAAAUAUUGGACACAGAAGUUACACAUGCACUUGGUCUAUGAACAUGCUAUAAUAGAGAAGAGAUAAUGUAUUUAACAGGUCACAUGCAAUAAAAUCCAAAAGGUAAGCAUAACAGACAAGUAUAGAUGAUAAAUAAUGUAUCAAACUUCUUUCCUAUUCUCAAUACUGCUACUUCAUUUUCUCCAAGUAUAUAAAUAUAGUCCAUGUUUGUCUACCCUAAUUAGCUAAAUUAAGUCCUCUAAUUCAAAUUAUAUAUUUUGGAGUUUUUUUUUUGUUUUUUAAAAGGCACUAAAUAAUGUUCAUGAUUGAGCCUACAGUAUAAAAAGUUGCCGUUUUAACCCUAUUUAAUUUAAUGUGUCCCUCUUGCUACUGGUCAAAUGUGCCAAACACUCGCAUAAGAAAACCAAUGUACAACGUACUAAUUGUUUCUUGCUUUUCAAGUUAAAAUUAGCCCCUUAUAAGGUAAUUAGGUCAUAUUUUCUUUGAUUAUAGUUUCUUUUUUCCUUAUUAAAGUUUAAAUUAUGAUCUUUUGUUACUCAAGCUUCUGCUUUUCUAAGCUCUAUUUUGGCGGUAAAAAGAUAACAAGCAAGUAAUUAUACUUUAUAUAAAGAAUAAAUGUUUGCUGAACACCUUUUUCAGGCUCCUGUGGUCAUAUUUUCAGGUUCUUUUACAACUAGAAAAAAAAACAUUGCAUUAAGUGAUUAAAGUUUCACACUGAUCUUAGAUUCAGUAGUGAAGCCACAGUACUAACUGCGGGUUCAACAUAAAUCAGUAAUUUUGACUCAAAGUUUUAUAUUUUUAUUAAAUUUUUUCAAUAUGUACGUACAAAUAAUUUAAUUUAUUCAGAAUCUAGGUAAAAAGAGUUAUGAUUAAUUUAGCAAUUUGUGGGGUCGUUAGAGGGGAACAAAGAGAUGUUUGUUAGUUGUUGAAAAACCGUUUCACUAGUCAAAUGUGGAAAAAGAUUGAACUAGUCUAUGUUUAUGGUCCCACAAACAAUCAUGCUCCUCCGCUUCAUUUUAAUUGAUCUCUUAUUAAAAACAUUUAAUUAUUCUAUUUAUGAAAUAAAAAAGAUUUUAUUAUAUUCUUUCAAUACUAUUUGUGUUAUUAAAUAACUAUACAAAGUGUAUAUAUUUAAAUUAAAAUUUUAAAAAUAUAAUUAAUAAGACUAAUUUGAUAAAAUGCACUCUUAAUAAACAUAGGAUCAAGACAGGAAUUAGUAGAAAAUUUUUGACUAUUGAAUAUGAUGAAUGAGGUUCAAUGUAGAACUAAUUUGGAGCCAUAAACUCCAUAUCCAACUGUUUUUCUUUCUUUGUAAAUUAUUUAUUUACUUAAUAUUUGAAAGUCAACUAAUUUAUUCAAUAUGAAUUUGGUCACUAUCACAAUAUAUAGUAGUACUUUUUACAACUGAAUUUUCAAGUGGACACGUGAUAUUUUUCCAAUCGUCAUUUCUCAUAAAAUUUCGGGGGUGGUUAAAUGGUCUCCUAUUUUAACAAUUAAAGGCCAAAAGAAUCAACUUACUCCAAGAAAACAAACACACACAUUUGUUCUUUUGACCACAAAUAUAGUGUUGUUGAUAGGUACAUAUCACCUCUUAGCCAUAAUUAAAGACUUCUCUGGUUUGACCUCAUUUUAAAAAGGUGAUUUCUCUUUCUCUUUUUCCUUUUUUUCCUUUCAUCUUUUUCAACACACACUCCAUUAGCUAUUUUCAGAAAAUUUUAUGACACAAAAAUGAUGUCAAUAUGACAUGCCUUUGGAACUCAAUACUCUCUUAGGUCCUCAAAGUACAACCCAAGCCCAUUAAUUAGCAUGCCAAUCAUAUUAGUAAGCCCAUAAGGAUUCUGUCACCAACUUACAACAAAGACUGUAUCACAAACUACACUACAUUCGUUUCAUUUGGUCUACAAUAAAAUACAUUAUACAGAAUUUUGCCCAUAGUGUAGUUAUUAUGAUCUGCAUUUGUAGCCAAAUUUUGGAGUGAGUUAAUUAAAGUUCAAAUCAAAUGGUGUAAAAUUGCAGGAAUUGCCGGAGCAUAAGAGAGGAGAUGCAGUGAGUAGCAUGGUGUAUGAAGCAAACGCUAGAGUUAGAGAUCCAGUGUAUGGAUGCGUAGGAGCCAUUUCAUCUCUCCAACAGCAAAUCGAUAUGCUCCGGACUCAACUGGCCAUGGCCCAAGCUGAAGUGGUCCAAUUGAGGCUAAGACAAUCCACAGGCAUUAUUAAUAAUAGCCCACCAAAUAAUGACUCUCCCAUUACGAGCUCCCAGCCCAAAGGAUAUUCCCAUUUCCAUAUGGAUUUAGAUGUAGACCAGUCCAACUGCUUCAAUGAGCCCAUGUGGCCAUAUUAGUAAAUGAGUUUCGUCUAUUUUAAGUUCAAAAAUUCCCAUGUGUCCUUUUGCCUCUAUAUCUUUUUCUUAUAAAGGGCAAAGGUGAUGAUUAGGUUGCUGUUUGUGAGUGUGUUAGAAUGAAAUCAAACCCUUUAUGGGGUGUAUUAGCAUGAGUUCAUACAAAACCCUUCAAGUGGUGUUGGCCUUUUGGCCAAAUUGAUUAUACUAUUAUCUUUGUUCUUGUGUAUAUAUGUAACUACUAUAGUAUGUGAUAGGACAAUUUUCAUAAGGGGACAGUGUGUUUAUUUUCCAAACUUGUUGGAAGAAAGUCCCUUUUUACAAUUGACGAAUCAUAAAACUCAAAACUCUUAUUUAACAAUUUGAUAUCUGAAUUUCAUUCGAGAGUCUAUUCGAAACAACCUCUCCACAUUUGAAGUAGGGUAAGGUUCAAGGAUCGAUUCAGGAUUUAAAGGUUGUGAGUGCUCACUUUCUUUAAGGAAAAAAAAAGUGUGUUGCUACCAGAAAUUAAACCCACGCCACUUCAGGCAUCAAGGUGCUUUAGUUUCACACCGAAGCCAAAGCACCCAACAACCACUUUUGUUUAUGAGUGCUUAACGUUACAUCAUAACCGAUUUUACUGUAUUUUCUAUACAAAUAACAAAAAAUUUACCAGAGUCAGUGGGUGCUCAAGCACCUGGAAAAGAUGCAUGCAUCCGCCCCUGGUAAGGUUUGCGUACACUCUGUUCUCCCGAGACUAUAAUCCAUUUUAAGGUGGGGAAGAACUCCCUUGCAAAAUUUCUUUUCUCUAGAGUUUGAAUCGAGGUCUCUACUUAGGAUAAAGUGAUCUUAUAUGUCCCUCCACAUCAGUUGGUGAUGAGACGACAAUAUGUAUUGAUACUUACAAGACAAAACAACUUUCCCAAUGAAUCACCAAAACGCUACAUAUAGAGCUAAUUAAUAAGAAUCCACCACAAGAUCUACACAUAGUAUUUAGGAAAUUCUCAUUGUUUCAUAAUAUAAACAAGUGAAAGAGCAAUUAGACAUUAGAGUCAAUGAGUUCUCCAUUCACUAACUCUCUGUAAGCAGCAACAGGCCAGAUGAAGCCUCUCCAGACAAGCCUGUUAGCCAAUGGAACAUCAAUGAUGAUCUCCUUCAUUGUUGGCUUCUUCUCAUCUCUUAUUGCAAUCAAGUAGCUCCUUCCUACCCACCCAAUCCAUCCAGCAAUGUACAAGAAGAGGAUCCCAGGAGUGAUGAACUCACCCCAAUGCCUCUGGUCUCCACUCACUAUCAGGUGUGGCAGUCCAUCCGAUCCACACAAUAGUCCCUGUUUCGCGUAGUUGUCAAAUCUGCAAUGACAAUAGUUGAGUGAAUUUGUGUAAGUGAAAUAAAACUAGUUAUGUGACUUCUCCGUUACAAAAUAAAGUUGAGUGACUUUAUCAAGAUAAUUUCCGUUAGUUGAGUAAUUUCAAAGGAGUUUUGUCCUUCACUGGUGAGGGACAGCGAGACAGUUGUGCUUAUAUACAGAAGCACUUCUUCUAGCUCUUAAAGAAUUGAGAAGAGAGUCUUCCCGGCGCCAUCGUUGUCCCUCAGCUGGCUUGGGCUUGAAUUUGAAUUUAUGAUGUGAUUGACUGAUAUAUUUUUGGAUCAAAUUUAUUUAGUUAAUAUUUAUAUUUCAGUAACAUUUUUGUAAUUAAUUCCCAUGUUAUUGUUUUGUCGUAGCCAUAUUUUUCGUAAACAACCAUUUUCGCAAAGAACCACCAGGAAGAGUUGCAUCUCUUCGUUUGAGACUAGACUUCUGCUUAUAUAUAUCUGUCCUUUAAUUCAGAUUUUUACUUACGAUUUUUUUUUUAAAUAUUUCUCGCAUAUUACUUUCUGCUCUGCGAAGUAAAUUUGAAGUGUGAUUCAACUGUUCUUAAUGUUCGUUGAACACCGGUGUUUGAAGUAUCUUUGCACAAGUGACAGUAAUCUGCCCUAUCUUGGGAGGAAAUAAUCUUAUACCUCAGGUAUUAGGAACACUAUGAAUUUCAGGAGGCUCGAAUUAGUUUCAGCUUUCAUCUCAUGUAUAUUUUGUCAAGUCUUAGUUUCCAGGAUUUAUUUGGUUACUAACAGUAUUUGUGUUACUAAACAAAAUUCGAAUGAUCAUAUGCGAAAUUAACUCUAUGAUAAGGAAUUACAUAGAUGGAUUAAAUAAAAAAUGAUUACUAGGGGAAAAUGGAAGGUGAGACAAACCUGCGCUUAGUUUUCUCAAUAGUAGCAUUAAUAGCAAGUGCAGGAGCACUAUCAGGUGCAUAUAGCUUCAAAGAAUUCUCAAGCUUCUUGAUCUGUUGCUUCUCCCUCUUAGCAAACUGCUUUGACUCCUUGCAAGGUGUGAGUCCAGAGAUGUCAGCAGAAGCUGGAAGCACUGGUGCUGACAACAGAAUUGAAGACAAAGCAAGUGCUGCUGAGAAUACCUUUAAUGAGGAAGAUGUUUCAUCUGUUUUAGUAGAAGCAGGAGUUUGGUUUGAAGAGCAGACUAUUGUUGAAGUUCUUGGUUUUGUGGUAAACUGAGAACUAAACUUAGAUGAUGUUGAAAUGGGUUUUGAAAGGUUUGCAGGAAUUGUGAGAGACAUGGUGUUUUCUCCUCUCUCUUUUUAUGGUAUUAUUUUCAAGAAAAAAAGAGAGGAAGGAGGAGUGGAUUGGAGUGUGGAGAGUGAAAGGAUGUUUUUUUAGGAUAUUUGGAAGAAAGGAUUGGUAUUGAAGAGAGAGGAUAAAGGAGUUGAAGGGGAGCUUAGGUGGAGGGAUUUGAUUGGCUAAUUGAGUUGGAUUUUGUGAGAUUGGUGGAUUUUGCUGAAACUUUAUCUAUCUGUGAAAGAGCAAGAACCAGGGAUGUAACAGAUACAGAUACGCCUCCUUCGGAGCCAUAUUAUCCCUUGGAAUAGCUAGUAAGUUGCUGCCCACGUAAUCAGGAGGUCAUAAGUUCAAGUUUUGAAAACAGUUUCUAAUAAAAAUACAAGGUACGACUGCAUACGAUACACCCUUGUGGUGGGGCCCUUCCCUGGAUACCGCGCAUAGUGGUAAUUUUAGUACACUGGACUGUCCUUUAUUGGCAAAAUGGCUAAAUGGAUCCUUGUACUAUGUUCGUUUUGUAAUGUGAACACUUCUACUUACAUGUUUGUCAUCUGAAUCGUUGAAUUAAUUAAAAAGUAAUAUUUUAAGCCCUUUAUCGGUCUACUCCUUUGAACGUGUUGCACAAUCACGAACAUGUCAUCAAAUAUUUGAAAAUAAUUUUCACAUAUGAAAUAACGUGUCCAAGGUAUAAAUAGAAAAGUAAGUCCGAAAAAUUAAGUCAUUUUAGACCCUUCUUCUUCGUCUCUUUCAUCCAAAGUUUAAAAUUUCCCCUAUUUUAACUUAAUUUAGGUAGAUUGUUGUUGGUGGUUGUUGCAAUCCGUGUAAGUAUUUAAUAUUUUGUGGUAACUGUAGUAUUUCGUAGUUUAUUUCAGGCUCUUUUGUCGAUGUAAUGAAGUCCGUUUUAGUAAUUUUAGGAUUUUCGCCAUUAUGAACUUUUUUUUCAAUUUUUUGGGUGGUUUUGCUCUAUUUUAUAUCUAGUGUUGUUGUAGGUAGUAUGUGUAGUGGUGAUAUGCCUUCAAUGACAUAUUUUGAAAUUUUGAUCAAAAUUUAGAGUUUUUUCGUAAAAUGGUAAUUGGGUUCGAAAAUUUUUGAGCUUUUAAUUUUUUUUUUGUUGUCUAAUGCUCCUAUUAUACCUAUAUAUUACAGUUUUGUGCCUUCAAUGGUGUAUUUUAUUAUUUCGAUUACAUUUUAAAUUUUUUUUGGUAAAUUUAAAAUUAGGUUCGAAAAUUUUGGGGCUUGUGAAUUUUUUGUUGUUUAAUGCUCCAAUUAGAUGUGUGUAUAACAGUUUUGUACCUUCAAUAGCAUGUUUUGUUAUUUCGAUUACAUUUUAAAGUUUUUUUUUUUUGAUAAAAUCAGAAUUGGGUUUCUUAUUCCUUUAUUUUUUCUUUAAAAAUUAGGUCUUUAUGGAUAAUUAACUAAUUAUAUAUAUUAUCUUGUCAUUGUACAGAUUUUCUAAGUAAAUGGACACAAUUGUAACAAUUCAAUUCACCUAUAGGGGGGUCUUUUUGUCAGACCCUGAUCUAAGGUAUGCAAAUGAAGUUUGUAUUCUUGAAAAAAUUAGAGUAGAUGUAGAUGAGCUUCAUAUUAUGUUAUUUCAUAACUUAGCAAUAGAUUUAGAUAUGGAAAAAAAUAAAACUUUUUGAUGUAGAGUAAAUAAAAAGGGUUAUUAUUAUAUGUUAGAUAGUGAUGCUGAUGUUUUAAGAUUUAUCAAUAGUUUAAAAGUUGGAGAUUUUGUUAAUAUAUAUGUUGUUCACCAUAUUAGUGAACUUAUAGUUGUUAAUGAAGAUGUGACAGCUACUCCAUCAUUAUUACUACUUAGCAAUAGUAAUGUGGCAGCCCCUUUUAAAACUGAUAAGGUUGUGUGUCUUCAUCUCAUCCGUUGAAUAUAAAUGAAGAUGAGUAUAUAAAUGAAAAUCAGCCUCCUAAGGCAGACAAAGGAAAAGCUAAGGUUUCUUUAGAAGACUUAGGGGAAAGUCAAGUUAAUGAUUUCUCCACAUACCACCUUCAAACAUCUGAUUCUGAAUUAAAUUUUCAGACCACUGAUUCUGAUGUUGAUUCACUUUAUGAUAUUAAUGAAAAUAUUGAAGAGGAGUGAUUUUGACAAAGAGUUGCUUUAAGUUAGGAAGUCUAACAUUGAAAAACAAGCAAAAGAAAAGGCUGAUAGGGUAAAUCUAGAUGAGAUACCAUCUGAACUAGUAGGUAUAAAUGCUGGUUUUGAGGAAAUUUGUAAGAACAAGGGGGUUAGAUAUGAAAGUAAACUGGGUAGGGAUGACCCUUAUUUUGGUAGUUUAAAUUCGAAUAGUAACAUUAGUGAAGAGGAAGGAGAUCAUGUUGAUGAUGAUGAACUGGUAGAUCCACUACCUAGAACUUCAUCUAGCAAGAUCUACUUUGAUGAAACUGCAAAGAAGAUAUAUUUUUAGUUGUACAUGAUUUUUUGAAUGCUGUUGAAUUUAGAGAGGUACUGCAGACUUUAUUCAAAAAAAUGUGAACCUUAAAUUAAAACCUAAUAAAAAGAAAAGAGUAAAGGCAAAGUGUAAGCAUAAGGAUUGUUCUUGGGUUAUUCUUGAAAGUGUUGAUAACACAAAAAAUUUUAGUGUGAAAACAUACUUUCUUAUCCACAAAUGUUCUAAAAAGACAAAAAAUGAGAUGUGAGUGAUUCAUCAAUAAAAUUGCAUCAGAUUCAAACACUUUUAAGAAAGGACUAUGGAUUGUAUGUUAGUAAAACAACCCGUAGAAAAUCAAAAAUUAAAAUUAUGAAUGAAUAUUUUGAUGAUUUUGUUGAAGAGUUUGCUAGGUUGUAUGACUAUGCUGAAUAGUUAGGAUCACCAAUCCUGAUACCACUGUAUCUACUAGAACAUCCAAGAAUUCAAUUCCAAGGUGGUUAUAGGCAUUUAUAUUUGUCUUGGGGCCUUAAAAAGUGGAUGAAAAGAGGGUUCUAGAAGAAUAAUUGAUUUAGAUGGUGCCUUUCUCGAGGGUGUAUAUAAAGGUAUCUUGUUGUCUUGUAUUUUCAAAGAUAAAAAUAAUCACAUGCAUCCUGUAGCAUGGGCAGUGGUUGAUAAAGAAACCAAGGACAUAUGGUCUUGAUUUCUUAGGUACAUCAACCAUAAUUUGAAACUUCGAGAAAAUGGGGGUAAAGGCUUGACAUUAAUAUCUGAUAUGCAGAAGGUAUGAAGUGUCAUAUUUUUUUUAGUUAUUUUUUCAAUUUGCUUAGUGAUGUCAUGAAUGUUUAACUACUGUUUUACAUGUUUUGAUAGGGUCUUCAUUUGGCACUUACUAAGCUACUGUCAAAUGCUGAGCAUAGAUGUGCUAGACAUAUAUGGGCAGACUGAAAGCAGGUUUGGAGAGGUGAAAAAAGAAGGAAAAAAUUCUAGCAGGUUGCAAGGGCUCGAUUUAAAGUGUAUUUACAACAAAAAACUUAAUAAAAUGAGUGAGUUAGAUGUUGAAAUUGUGAAAUACUUGCUCAAAUACAACAAAGAGGCAUGGUGUAGGAUUUUUUUUUAAAGAAUAUAGCAGGUGUGAUGUGGUUGAGAACAACAUGUAUGAAACUUUCAAUAGUUAAAUUUUAGCUGCUAGGUUCAAAACAAUUAUCACUAUGUUGGAGAAAAUAAAAUGCAAAGUCAUGGAAAGAAUGAAUCAAAUGAGAAAUUUUUAGAAAAAUGAAUCAGUGAUGUAUCACCAAUGGAUAUGAAAGUUCUUGUAGAGAAUAAUAUGCAAUCAAGUGUGAGGUAAGGUUUAAUGGUGAUAUAGGCUUUGAGAUUGGUGAUCCACCAUAAACACAUGUUGUUAAUGUGAAGAGGAAGGAAUGUAGUUGUAGGUCAUGGCAACUAAAGAAAAUUCCUUGUGCACAUGCAAUUGUUUCAAUGCAUUACAAGGGAUAGAAUGUGGAGUCAUUUGAUAAGCACUGGUAUCAAUGAAAAACAUACUUGAAGGCAUAUGAUAAGUAUAUUCAACCAAUGACAAAUAUAAAGAUGUAGCUAAGAAGCACAAGACCACUAAUUGAGUCACCUGAGAUUACUGCCAUGCCACGAAGGUCAAGUAAAAAUAGAAAGAAAGCUAAGGAUGAGUCUAUUAAGAAAAAGUUUAGGAAGGCUACAAAAAAAGAAAGAAAAAUGACAUGUUUUGUGUGCAAGUCUAUUGGAGACAACAAGAAAGGAUGUCCAAUUUUGGUAACCUAAAACUUUUCUUAUUGAUGAAUUUUACUCUUUUUGAAUGUGUUUUUGAUCUUUAAAUAUUUUUUUGUAGAAAAAAGAUUUCAGUAGUAGCUGUGGCAGUCAACCAAGUGUGCAAGCUGGUGCUAGUACUGUUGCUGCUGAGAGACCUGCAAAUGCUUCAGCAGCUGAAGACAUGCCUGCAAAUGCUAAACCAAGAAACAGAAGGCCUGCAGGAAGGCCAACAAAUGCUCACCGUGUACCAAGAGCUGCAGAAAGGCCUGCAAAUGUUGCAUCAGUUGGUGGUGUGAGGCCUGCAAGUGCCUUAACAACUGAUAUAAGGCCUGCAACUGUUGUGAUUCCUGCAACCACUUCACCAGUAGAUGAUAAUACUACACAAUCUACAACUCAGUAGUCUACUAGUGGUGUUGGUGUCCAAAAGAGGAGGACUAGUACAACUUUGAGAGGUGGUGCAAAUCUUGCAUAUAAAAGAUCAAGGCAAAACAAAAUUAAUUUUGUUGUGCUGUUUGGACUAAGUGGCAACGUAGUGGAGAGGGUAAAUUUUCUAUCAUGUAAUUUUCAUUUAACUGGUAUUAAUUAGUGUAUCUAUAACUGAUUUUUUUUAUUUUUACAGUUUGAAAAUACUGAUAGAGUGUUACAUAAUCCAACACUUAUUAGUUCAGUUCCAAUCAAUAUUGACUUGGGUUUCAAACCAAAUAGACUGAGGCGGAAAGGUGGAGCUGCAGUAACUCAAAGACAACUACAAGAACAGAGUUACAACAGAUAAAACACAAAAUCAUCUACAACCACUCAAGCCACAUCAAGCACUCAAGCCAGCAAGAAUCAGGCCACAACAAGCACUCAAGGAACACAUUAGUGUAAUUCUCUUUUUGUAUUGAUCCCAAGUGUUGUUAAGAUAAUUUUUUAAGACUUCUGAUGCAUUUCUCAUUAAAGAUGUUGUUAAGACAAGUUUUUUCAUUUCAACUCUUGCUAACACAUUAUAUAUUGAAGAUUUCUAAGUUGGCAAAAUGGUGUUUGUCAUUAAAUUUGAAUUUCAUUUUCAUUGUACAUUGCAACUACAAAAAUUAAGUCAUCUUAAAUAUAAUAGAUAGAAAUCAGAUGACAACAAUAAUAAUAGUGAUAUCAAUGCUAGUGCUUGAUCUUUCAUGUCUUUCAUACCUUUCAUAUCUUUCCAGUCCUUCUUGUCUUCGUUGCCUUCUAUGUCUGCCUUUAUAUUAUUUAUUUUCAUCAGCACAUCAAAAGAAUCCACAAUCAUUAGCAACUUCAUAUUUUUGACAGCUCCAAAAUAUUUUUUCGGGGUUGAUUGGUAUUCUUGAAUCUUAAUUUCAGCGUAAAGCCCACAAUAACAUACCCGAACUGUCAUGGUGUUGUGAAAAAUUACAUAAGAUAUUAACAUUCCAAUAUUACAAACAGAACAGGAAAAAAAAUUAAGAAACAAGAACUUAGAGAGAGAAAAAUGGAGAAGAAGGGAGAAAAAAAAGCUCAAAUUGCUUCAAUAAUGAUGUUGGAAGCAUAUGAGGAAGAAGUAGCAUUUAUAAGGACUUUAUGACUGUUGGGGGACUUUUUUCGAUGGCUUACGUGCGCUUGAAGGCUAAACUAUUUGCUCCUAUGUGAUUCCAGCCACAUUGGAUGCCACAUCAAAAAAAAGUAUUUAAAAUGUUCAUUUUUAGUGGGUUCAAGGAUUCAGAUGAUAAACAUGUAAGUAGAAGUGUCUACAUUACAAAACAGACAUAGUACAAGGGUCCAUUGAAUUAUUUUGCCUUUUAUAUUUCAAUCUUUCUUUCUCACUUAUAUUUUUAGCUCUUAUCUUAAGGGGUGUUUAGCCAUAAAAGUUUUAAUAUUUUUAGAAAGAUCAUGUAAGAGUAAAAAAUAAUAUUUAAAAAUUAAAAUUGUGUUUUGAUCAUAAAUAUAAAUUGGAGGCGUUUUUGAAUUACUUUUCAAAUUUCAAUUUUUUGAAAAGUAUUAUCACAAGAUCAUAUACAAAAAAAUUGAUUUUCACUAAGAGAGUUAAAAAAAUUGUAUUGCUUGAGAUUUGAAUUUAGAAUUUAAAGUGAAUUUUGAAUUUUCUAAACUAUUGAUCCUACUCUAAUUUAUUGUUUAGGGUAUUGAAAAAAAAAAACUAUAUAGCUAGACAUUAAUUCUGCUAAUAUAUGCAGUAACGAGAUGAGCCUCGCCAUAGUACCAAAUUUAUAUGAAUUUAUUUAUGAUUAAUUAGGAGUUGUUAGAUUAAAAAAGUGAACAAAAAUGAAAGAGUUGAAAAAAAAAAGAGAAAUAUGAAAAAAAGAGUGGCUAGCCAAGAUUUUGUAGUUAUAUAGUUUUCUUUAAACAGUCUAUAGCAUCAAUGAUUUAGGAAAUUUAAAAUUCACUUUAAAGUUCUAUAUUUAAUCUCAAGUAUUUUUUUUUUUUUGAUUAUGAGUAGCAUCAAUGAUUUAGGAAAUUUAAAAUUCACUUUAAAGUUCUAUAUUUAAUCUCAAGUAUAUUUUUUUUUUGAACUCUUUUAGGAGUCGUUUGGUACACUGAAUGUGAUAAAUAAGAAUAUCUAAGGUGGGAUAUUUCAUAAGAUUAUUUUAUUCAUCUCUCUCCGUGGGACAGUAAUCUCAUUAUCUUAAUAUAAAUGGUGGAAUAAAAUAAUUUUGAAAUUAAGUAAUACCUUAUAUCAAAUAUGGGAUAAAGUUAAUUCUAAAUUUUAUCCCAAAAUUAUUUUUUAUCCCUUCUACCAAACGAUUCCUUAGUGAAAAUCCACAAUCUUUUCAUAUCUGGGUUUGUGAAAAUAUUUCAGAUAAAUUAAAAUUUAAAAAAUAGCAAAAAUUAUUUCUAAUCUAAGUUAUUCCUAAAAACUCAAAAACACUUGCAAUUCGUAUUUAUGAUCAGACAUAACUUUAAUUUUUAAAUAAUAUUUUUUACUUUUAAAUAAUUUUUAAAAAAUAUUUACACUUUUCAUGACUAAACACUCCUUAAAAUAAAAACUAAAAUUUGAGUGGGGAAGAUAGAAAUAUAAAAUAAGGAGGCAAUAUUCAAAAAAAAAAAAAACAGGAAACAGAAGGAAAUGUGAGGAAAUAUUGGGAGAGGAACAUUUGCUAAUACAAUGGACCCCACAAGAACAUAUGUCAAAAGCAAAAAGACCCUUACAUAACUAUUGUUGGGUGAGCCUCACCCAUUUUAUAAUUUUCCAUCACCGAAACUACAGAUCAUAUGCUACUGUCAUUUGCACUUUUUCCCUUGAAAUAAAUAAUAUUUUAUAAGUUUAUAAUCAUUUUAUAAUAAUAUUUCAUGAGUUAUGGUCCUCUCCUAUAAGGUAGUUGUCCCAGUAGAUAUAAUUUCAAUUGCGAAAACUCAAAAUUCGAUGGGCGAAUUGCAAUUAAAUGACCUAAUUUGUCAUGUCAUUUGAGGACAAAAUGUUUGCAUGGAUUGUUCUUGUUUUAAAGUGGUUUUCAAUUUUUGCAAUCAAAAUAAUAUAGUUGAAUUUGUUUAAGUGUUUUAAGGGCACGCGAGUUAGAUUGAUUAUAAAAAUGAAAUAACAAUGAAAUGAAUCACAGCAACAAGAUGUAAUGAAUACAAAGCAAGAAAAUAAUUAAAUUAGAUCCUAAAAUUGGGCCUAGGUGGCUUUGGUAUUCUCUGUCCGAAAGCUGAUGAAUUGAGAAACUGAGAGCCUUUUCUUAAGAAGAGAAAGUAUGUAUGAACAAGUGUGUCUUGUAAAAACUUUCAGAGCCUCGAAUGUUUGAUUCCUAAGUGUGUCACUGUCUUCCAGUUGAGCAGUAGCACUUUGGUUGUCGGGUUGGAAAGAUUAUCUUAUCAUCAUUACUAGUUACUGUUUCUGUAUCAAGAUUCUACCUUUCUGAAGUUAGACAGGCCAUGUUAGUAAGGCCGGUACCAAUGUCGAGUAUUAUAGGAUCCCUCCAAAAUUGGACAUCACUCCGAGCUCGGUCUUUUGGAAGGGUUCUUCUGGUGCUCCCCAAUAGUCCCUUCAUAGUCAGACGCAUGUAUCACAUCUUUCAUGUCUUUUUUUUUUGCAACAAAUGUGAAUAUUAACAUCAACAAAACAGUCAUAUAAAAAUAAUUUUUUUUUAAUUUGAGUCUCAUAUGUCAUGUAAUAGUUGUAUGAGGUCUUUAAUAUUUGACGAAAUACAUAUACAGGCCCUUGAAAUAUUUCACUUUUCCCGUUUAGACACCUAAAUUAAGAAAGGUACCUAUUGAACCCUUUACUCCUUCAGAAAUGGUUUCAAUUGAGCCCAAUUCUCCGAUGUGGCAGUUUGCGUGUACUCACAUCUGGGAGGCGCGUGAAAUGUCAUGGAACCAGCUUAUGUGGCACCCAACGGAUCUUUUAUCCUCUUUUUAUACCCAAUUUCUUAAAAAAAAAAAACCCUAAUUCCCACUUUCUUCCUCUUUUUAUACUCAAUUCUUAAUAUCCACCAUUUUUGUCUCCUAAAUUCUCCUUCUCCUCUUAAAUUUCUUUUCAGCCUUUUCUCUUGCUUCGCUUAAACUCUCCUACUCUUAUUAAUUUCUUCUUCUUACUCGUUUUUAGUAGUAAUAUCCAAUUCAUCUUUUUCAUUGUCUUCAUCUUCUUUAAUUCCAAAAGGAGUAUGUUUAUGUGGGGUGAAAGCUGAAAUUAAGACCUCGUGGACACAACUCAACACUAGUGGGAGAUUCUUUUACUGCAAAACUUCAAAGGUAUUCAUCUUUUGCUGCUUCAUUGGACGAAAUGCAAUUACUUCGAUUAGUGGAUGCAAUUUUUUAAUUUAAUUUUUUCUUUAAACCUGUAGGCGAGAGGUGGAUGCAAUUACUUUGAUUGGUAUGAUGAUGAAAUGCCCCCUCAAGCAAAGAGGGUGAUGUGGGGUUUAUUAAAAAAAUUCAAAUCAUUUGAAGAAGAGAGGAAUCGAUCAAGAAAAUUUAAAGUGAUAUGCGUUGGGGCGAUUGUGAUUUUGGCUACAUGGAAUUUCUUCAAGAAAUGUUCUUAGAUUUUGACAAAUAUUGGCUUAGGUUUCUUAUAUAUAGGACUGUUUUGAUUUGGAUAAUUCUGAAAUAUAUUAGUUGUAUUGGGACUGUUUUGCUUUGGCUUUCUUGUUGUAGUGGGAUUGUUGUGUAUGAAACAAUUAAGAAGGAAUGAAGAUAAGUUGUGAAAUGUUACUCUCUUACUAUGUUUUGAUUUUUCUUUACUUUUGUAAUUGGUUUAGUUAGAUUAUUGUACUCUAUUUUUUUAGAGUUCAAAUAAUUCAUUUAAAUGAUUCAAAGCUGUCAAAUGUUUAACACAAAAGGAACUACCAUUCAAUAAUUAUAUAAAGCACAAGUGCAACUGAUCGACAUUUUAAACACAAUAAUCUACCAUUCAACUGCUCAAAAUGAGCUCCAACCAUACAUCAAGUGUUCAUCCAAAACUAAUCUAAACAAACCACAAAAAAUAGUUCAGAAUCUUUAAAAAUCCCAACAAAAUACCAAAGUAGCCAUACAACUAAUAACCAAACUAUACAUUGUGCUAAAAACACAAUUAAUUCAACAACUUCAGAUUCCUCCUGGUGCACUAGAACUUUCAAGUUGGCUUCUUUUUUUACUGACUCAUACUCUGCAAUUGAGAAGUUGUGACGACAUUCUUUUCCUUCCACUUCAUUCCUCGAGGCUUAUAACCAAUAUCAAUAUUUGUUUGAGUUACAUCUUUGUAAACACCCAGAGUGACAACUGUUUCACUUCUAGUUCCAGGUUGUAUAAAAUGAAGUAAAAUUAGAUUUGUCAAAAGAUAAUUAAAAAUUACAUGAAUUGAAGUUGUAAUUCACACUUACAUUUAAUGUUUUACUGCAACUCAUUUGAUCAGUGUAGAUACCAAAUCCUACUGUCUUAGACCUCUUUUGUCCUACUGAUGAUGUUGAUGCUCCAAUGGUCAUUUUUUCCUUAAGUUGCUGAUCAGAUACACUUUCUUUUCCUCUACUUCUGCCAGUGCCUCUUCCAGAUCCUUUGCCUUUGCCAGCUCUCCUACCUUUGUCAGUAUCUCUACCUCUACCUCUACCUCUACCUCUUCCAGCUGGCUGCACUCUUAUAACUGCUGAGGUAUCAACACACAUAGAACUGCUGAAGCUUGGUUGCUGGCUGAAGCUUGGUGGCCUGCUAGAGCUUGGUGGCCUGCUAGAUCUUGGUGGCUAGAUGAAGCUUGGUGGUUAGCUAAAGAUUGGUGGCCUGCUAAAGCUUGGUGUCUUGCUAGAGCUUGGUGGCUGUCUGAAGCUUGGUGGCUGCUAGAGCUUGGUGGCAUGCUAGAGCUUGGUGGUUGGGUAGAGCUUGGUGGCCUGCUAGAGCUUGGUGUCCUACUAGAUCUUGGUGGUUGACUGAAGCUUGGUGGCCUGCUAGAGCUUAGUGGCUGGCUAAAGCUUGGUGGCCUGCUAGAACUUGCUGCGUGGCUAGAGCUUCCAGGUUGUCCCAUUCCAUCUUAACAAUAAAGGAUAUUAAAUAUAUAUUAUAAAUAUCAGAAUUUAAUUAUUGAAUUAAAAGAUAUGAGUGCAUUACCUGAGCUUUACAGAGAGUUCUGCUAUGACCAAUUUGAUGACAUUUGGAGCAAGAAAUUUUCAGUCCUUUCCAGGAUAGCUUCCCAUAUUUCUUCUUAGGCUCAUUCUUCCUUUUUUUCUAUUCUUUCCUGGUCUGCUAGGCAUUCGUCUAGGCUCAUGAGGAUCAAUCACUACACCACUUGUGUUAGGCUACAUUUCCAUAUUAGAUAUUGGCUGAAGAAAGUAGUCAUAAGCCUUCAAGAAUGUAUCUUUCUUAUACCACUCUUCCACAUAAAAUUCAGGCUCUAUACCUUUAUGCUGAUAAGCCAAUACAGCAUGUUGACAUAGUAUGCCUCUCAAUUUCCAGCUUCUGCAAGUGCAAGUCCUUGUCCUAAUAUUAACUAUAUGCCUAUAAGGACCAUCUAAAAUUCCAUACCCAAUCUGUCCAUUGAACCUCACUGUGCAAUUUCUAGCCAUAUCUUUAUUUUCUUCAAGUACUAGCAAAGCCAUAAGAGAGAUGUCUGAAAUGCAGGUAUUAACAAACUUCCUCAUUUCAACAUUUCUAUCCAUUAUCUUAUGUCUAAUCUCCUCUAACAUACAGAUUAUAGAUUUAUGUCUAACAGCUAAAAUUCAUGAAUUAAAAGUCUCACACAUAUUAUUCUCAACAAUGUCACAUUUAGAAUACUCCCUAAAAUAUGCCCUGCACCAUGAUUUUUUUCAUAAUGUAAUAAGUCCUCACAAAUAUCCUUACCAAGUUGACUGAGUUUGCCCAUCUCAUCCAAAAACUUCACUUCAAAACUGGAUUUAGCACACCUCUAAAAUUAUUUUCUUCUUUCUUCUCCUCUCCAGAUCUGAUGUCAAUUGGACCAGAUGUAUCUUGCACACCACCUCAUUUCACAAUCUGGUAACAACUCAAGUAUAGUAGGUACAAGACCUUACAUCAGUAUAAAUACAAAAUAAAAACACAAAAUAUAUGAACAUGGAAUGUAUAGUAAAUAAAUAGAAGACAUCAAAAUUAAAUUUUAAAAAGUAGACUAACCUUUUGCAUAUCUGACAUGACAGACAGAUCAUGUUCAAUGCCUAAGUUCAAAUCUUGAAUCAAGUGGUUAAUGAAGAAACUCCAGCUAUUUUGUCUUUUGAUCAACCACUGCUCAGGCUAUUGGAUACAUUUGAUUAUUUCCAUUUCUCCCAACUGCAACUAACAAUUCACCCUUGCAAGAACCUUUCAAAAAACAACCAUCUAACCCAAUAAUUUUUCUGCACCCUGCCAGCCAGCCUCUCUUUAAUGCAUCAAAGCACAAAUAAAAAUAAAUAAAUAGAUUUUUUCCAAGUUGAGACUCUCUAUCUAUCCUCACCCAACAAGAACUGUCAGGAUUAAUAUGUUUUAUCAUGUCUGCAUAGUCACACAACCUUGAAAAUUCCAUCUUCCAAUCACCCAAGAAUUCUUUAAUGAUUCUAUGCUUUGCCUUGCUACAAAUAGUUUUUUCCACAUACAAACCCAAUUUUUUUCUCACCAAUUCCUGAAUUUCCCACAGUUUUAUAUAAGGUUGUAAAGUUAUUUCAUCUUUGAACUUACUUACAAUAAAUUUAGAUGUGCACAAUUUAUUUUUAUAGUAGUAGUGCAUACAUGUACAGGAUAGUAGUGCUUGACAACAGAGUCACCAGAAUGCUUAUCAAUACUAGCAAACAACAACCAUUUACAUUUCUUGCCCUUACACCUAACUCUAACUCUAUGUUUCUCAUUAGGCUUAAGCUUCAAUCUAACUUUGUAUUCAACAGCAUACUCAACCACAACCUUUCUAAAUUGCUUAGCAUUUUCAAAUAUCAUACCAAGCUCAAAUAUAGCCACAACACAAUCAGAAUCAAAUCUUACUUUUUUUACUUUUCCUUUUUGCUGAUAAAUCAACACCCCUGACAGUUUCAGGUUCCAGUCCAUCAGCACUAUCAUCACUAUCAACUUCAAAGCUAUCUAUAUACUUAUCAUCUCCCCCUAAUCUUCUACUGUAUCUAGCAGUCUUAUUCCUUCCAAUAUCUUCAAAUCCCCUAUCAACACCUGCUGAUCCAAGUUUUAUUUUUUCAUUUUGGACAGAUUUCUUUUGUUUCACACAGUUUCUCCUUUCAUUUCUAAGAGUUCUUAACUCUUCAUCAUCCUCAGAAUCGUCAUCUUCUGGUAUAUUAAACUCUUGAGAAUCAACACUACUAUCAAGAUCUAUUUCAGCCCCUUCUAGAUCUGAGAGUUCAUCUGCACCAGAUUCUAUAUCUAUGUUGUCAGUUUGGGUAGGUUCCUCAUGUAACCCUUCAACAUUAAUAUCAUGAACUGUUGAUAUGUUCUUACCCACAUUACUAUUUUCACCAACCACAUUACUACUUUGAUCACCUACUGUACCACAAAGAAAACCAGAUGGGACCUCAUCUUCUACCACUUCUACCUCAUCCACAACAUGGUUCAUAUACAAGUCUAAAAAGUCCCCAUCUUCUAGGUCUUCAACAAGACUUACCAAAGUCAAGUCAUUUUCUACUUCAAUAAAGACUUUCUUUUUAGGGUCUUUAAAGUAGAACCCACCAACAGUCAUAUACCCAAAUUCUUUAGUAUAAUAAAACAACUUGAAUAUAGAAAAGUGGUCUUUGUUCGUACUUACAUAUUCCACCUCACUUUCUCCUAUGUAGUGUGGACCAUAUUCUUCAUCAGAAACAAACUUGCCACCAUGGUGAAAAUGAGUUGUAAUAAUAAUAUUAGCCAUUAGAUUCCUGAAACAAAAUUCCAAAAAUACCUGACAAGUUAUGAAUAGUAAAAACCCUAAAAAAAUCCUAGCUUUUUUCGGAUAUUCCCAAACUACAAUUACUAACGUAAUAUACUAACAAAGAACUAAUAAAUCAUUUACAACAACAAGACAUGACAAAAAUGUGACAAUAUUGACAUUUGCAACAUACCUGAGUGCGAUUCAAACACAAAACAAUAACAAUUUUUUAGAUCCAACUCCAGAUUCUUUGCAACCAAUAAAGAAAUGUUGAAAUCAGUGUCAAACUUGAACUAAUCACUCAAAAACACUAUGUAACUUUUUAUUAUACAACAAACGAAGCAUAAAUUAGUAGUAUUAGGAGUGAAAUCGCAAUUUUAGGGUUUCUGAUAGAUUUAGGGAUGUGUAUGAGGGAUUUGACGUUAUAAGGAGGGAAACGAAGUAGAAAUUAUCUUUAUGUAUUAAUUAAAAAAAAGGUGGGGUGUAAAAUAUAAUUGGUUAUAAUUGGUCAAAAUCUACACGUAGACGAUGACUACAUACACGCACUUAACACGUUAAAAAAGAAGGCUUUAAAAAGGUGUCAUGUCGGACAAUUGAGCUCAGUUGAAACCAUUUAUGAAGGGGUAAAGGGUUCAAUAGGUAUCCGUCUUAGUUGAGGUGUCUAUACGGAAAAAGUGAAAUAGUUAAGGAAUCUCUCUAUAUAUAUAGCCUUAAUAUUUUGACAAAUUAACCUUUUGGGUCCCACCUUUCGGAGAAUUCUUUCUUAUUUUUUCCUCUUCAUUUUCUUUUCUGUCUCAUUGUCAUUUAACUUUUUUUUCUUCAACAAAUAAUGUUUUGUGCUUUUGCUCUUUCUUUUUGGGUUAUUUUUUACUUAUGGUUUUCUUUAUUUUUCUUCAUUUACCCUAUUUCUUUCCAAUUUUUUUUAGUACUCUUGAUACAAGUAAAUUGAAGGUUUUUCUUUUUCCUUUAAUUUUUUAUUUGUCAAUAUUUAUAUGCAAAUUAAAUGAUACUUACUUUUUUAUUUAUUUUUUUAGUUUAUUUUAAAAAUAUUAUUUCUUUGAUUUUUAGAUAGUAAGGUAAUAUUGUUUCCAUUAGUUAGUGUCUAGUUAGAUUUUGUAAUUAUUUUAAUCCGAAAUAUAAUUUUUGAUAUAUAUUUAAUGAUGUGACAGUUCCUAAAUUUCCAAGAAAAGUUAUUUUAAAAAUUAAAAUCAAUAGUUAGAUUUAUUUAGGACCAACUCAUUCUAAAUUCAAUUCAAUUCUUGAAAGACCGCCUGGAAAUAAUUUUUCUAUAUAGAAAAUUAUCUUAAUGAUUAAAAAAAAAGAUGAUUGCUCUUCCAUUUUUAACAUGCUAAGUAUUAUACAUGUCCUAAUAACAUUGAACCAUGAUAAAUAAUAUUAUAUAAAUUCAAUUAUAAAAAACAGAUUUAUCACUUAUCAAAUUUAAUUUUAAAUUUUCGAUAUUCAAAUUUUUCAACACCAACAAAAAGAGAGUAUAAUAAAAAAUAGAAAUUAUUGUCAUGAUUGAAUGGCCAAAAUUUUAUUUUCUUUUUUUUAACAAAUAUGAACAAAUAAUAGUUGGGAUGAAAAAAAAGAUUCAUUCUACUUAGUACCGAAACAGGAGGAAGAAAAAUCAAUUUGUGAAAAAAGACAAAGAAAGAAUAAAAAACAGUAAACAAAAAAGUAACCAAAAAAAAAGAGCAAAUAAUGUUUUGCCCCAAAAAAGUUAAUGAUCGAAAAAGUAAAAUAAAUAAAUGAAUAUAGAAAAUGAUCUGAUAGUGGGACCCCAAAGUCCAUUUGUCAAAAAAUUAAAGACCUCAUAUUAAAAUUUUACAUAUACAAACUAAAAGCAUCUCGUCUCAUCUCCCACUUCUAGAAGGUUGUACUACUAAUUAGGCCUCCAGGAAACAGAGAAGUGUGGUACAAAAAUUAAUUCGUCUGUCUGCUCUCUUUCUAUCCCUAUAAAAUUCAAUUCUCUCAAUAAUUUCGCAUGUGAUUUGCCCCACUGUGUCUGUACAUAGUAUGUCCUCCUACUUUGCAUCCUUGGAUGAAUACUGGACCUUUAAAUUGAAUCCAGUUCCUUGCUUUCCAGAUGUAAUACACCAUAGUCCCCCAUAAUGCAGCUGCCGCUUCCUUCUUAAACUUCUUCCAAUGCUCUCUUCUAAUCAGCUCAAAUGUAGUCUUCACAUCUCCUGCGGACAGUGAAAUAUUGGAUUAUUAUAUGAGUUCAGCUCUUACCAGUGCAGCAUAUAUAGCCACAGUCAACAAAUAUGUGGCUACUACGCUCUCCAUUGUAGAUGAUUGAAAUAGGCGGCAGUUGACAUUUUCUAUGUACAUGUUCAUAUGUAGUAAUCUUUCCUUCGUAAGCAAUCUGUUCAGCAAGGUAACCACUAGUAAUUGAAUACUUUAGCAGUAAGGAUGAAUUGCCCCCAUGCAUCAGUGUUUCAUUCUAUCCCUUAUAAAAUUUAUUUUCCUCCAACACCAGCUACUUGUUAUUUUCGUUUGUACUUUGGGUACACAGAAUCAGUAUAUGCAGAACAAUAACUUCAACUAGAGUUCAAGUAUAAACAAGAACACAAUGAAGUAUAUCAAAUACUCUCUAACACAAGAUCGAAAUGACCUUUUCAAGAGGUGUAUUUUAUUUUUUCAGAAAUUAAGAUGAAACAGAAAAUAGCCAAGUCAUCCGAAUUCACGAAGUUUCUUUAAGGAAAUAAUUUCCCUCACUGUACCCGAGGUUAUAGAAUUUUUCCUCCUAGAAUAAAAUGGCUAAAUAGAUCAAUUGUAGCGGUACCUCAAACGGUUGGAAUAUCUUCGAACGCACAGGACGUUUUGAUUGAUCACAUAGAGUAAUUUGGAAGACAAGAAGUAAUUUUGUAUUCUGAAAUUUUCAUAUCAAAACCUGUGGAUGAAAGCAGGUUUAUAUAGCCAUAACAUGUCUCUUCUGAAAAUAGGCAAUGGUUCACUCCAAAGGUUACACCUUUGCUGUAAGUUCAUGUCUGUUCAUCAAAGAUUGCAUCUUUUCCUGAAUAGUCAUCUCAUUUCAUGAAUCAGUGUGUCACUUCAUUGAAGGAUUACAUCCUUCUGAAGCAUCAUUUCGAACCAUUGCAACUCAGUUUAAAACAAUAUAUCAUUUCUGAAGCACCAGUUCAAAAACAAUGCAUCAGUUCACUUGAAACAGUGCAACUGUUACUGCAUCUAUAUAUAAAUGGAGAUCCUAAACACUGCAGAAAAAUUUUACUGCGUUUUUCCUUGGCAUUCUUCGGAAUUCAAAUAAAGUUUGUCCAAAAAAAUAGAUCUCAUCGAUCAAUCAUUAUCCAAAUCCAAAGCCAAGCGAGCAACGAUGAAAAUGGCGCAAGACAUCUAUUAUUUCUUGCCUCACUUGCCAUGUGGAAUAAAUGUUCUUGAUUAUAAAUACUUUCAAGUACUCUUCUUCCACCAAUGUGGGAGAAAGAGUAAAUUAUCUAAUUUGGAAGUACACUUUUCAUUUUAGUGUCUCCUUCCCCUCCAUCAUUUUACUCUCCAUUUUUUCAUUCACACUUCUUUCAUAUACUAUGAACCCAACACUACUAUCUGCUGGCUUCUGUGUCCAGAUAGUGUCAGUUUUGAUACAUAUUUCGGGUGCCUACUUCAGCCCCAAAGACUCCUUCUUUACAACUACUUUCCACAAAACCUUGCCUACCGAUGCCAAGUUCCAAUUCUCACACAAUAUUCAAACCACCCUGCUUUUUGGAGACACUUUAUCCCAAGCUACUAGUGCUACCUUCCUUUUCCCUCUAUAAUACCCCACAAGUAAUCUCUAAAUGUCUUAUCUACCUCCUUCACUAUACUAGGGGGAAGGAGAAAAACUGCAUUUUAUUCAUCCAUCUGUCAAGACCGGUUUUACCCCAUACUACCAAAGCGGCCAGCAAAAUUUUGACCAUACUGCUUUGAGCAAAUCUUCCUGAGCAAAAUAAAUGGUCUGAAAUUUCCACUUUCUUAGAGUGGGGCAAGCAAUACAAGAAUCUUGAUUGGAAGAUUAUAUCAAAAUUUUGAGACCUUUUCAUCAGUUGGUACCCUGUCGUAUGAAGCUCCCCACCUUACAAAUGUCAUCUUGAAAAAUAUUAUUGUUUAUGCCACAUUUUUUGGGCACUUACUUGAUUGUUCUUUCUUCUAAAUUAGGAGCUCCCAUGCUGAGGCUAGUGAGAACCUGCCAUUGAUGUUAGCCAACCCUAGUACUCUAUCUGGAGCUGCAUGGAAUAAGGUAAUGUGGUGUUGUGCUACCAUGCCAUAUUGCCAAGUGACAUUGUCAAGUGCCUCCUUAAGAAGGGAUAUUUCCGGCUUUUGCUCCAUCAGGUAAAUGACUAUAGAGCAUUCCCGUUUUUGUUCAGUUGUCAUACCAGAAUGAUGUUUUUACCUUUCCAGGCAGGCAUGCUAUAUUUUCCUUAACUUCAUGCUUUAAGUCACAGAGGGCUCUCCAGCCGUGUGACUGUUGCCCUGAUAAUUUUCAUGGAUCGUACAUGUGAAAUAUUUGGUUUGGGUGGAAAUGAAUUGACUCUCAUCUAAGAGAAAACACACUGCUAGUUAAUUAUAUUAUGUCGCAGCAUUAAUGGAGACACUCUUUAGAUGCCCGGUCCCCUUGCCAGCCACUAGAACUUGGGAGGGCAAUUUCUGUUGAUCCUUGACAAGCCAAAACAAUUUCCAAAUUAAUCAUUUAAAAAAAAAAAACAUUACAGAGCCAAGAAGCCAUCAUCUAACACAAGAUCUAGCAACACUUAGUAUAGAAAAUUCACAAUCUUUCAUUGAUAUAAACAAUUGAAAGAGCAAUUACACGAGAACAUCAAAUUAGACAUUAGAGUCAAUGAGUUCUCCAUUCACUAACUCUCUGUAAGCAGCAACAGGCCAGAUGAAGCCUCUCCAGACGAGCCUGUUAGCCAAUGGAACAUCAAUGAUGAUCUCCUUCAUUGUUGGCUUCUUCUCAUCUCUUAUUGCAAUCAAGUAGCUCCUUCCUACCCACCCAAUCCAUCCAGCAAUGUACAAGAAGAGGAUCCCAGGAGUGAUGAACUCACCCCAGUGCCUCUGGUCUCCACUCACUAUCAGGUGUGGCAGUCCAUCCGAUCCGCACAACAGUCCUUGUUUCGCAUAGUUGUCAAAUCUGCAAUGUCAAUAGGUGAGUGACUUUGUAAGUGAAAUAAAACAUGGACUCGAGUAUCAAGGAGUUGGAAUCAAAUGGAAUGUUCUAUUUUUCUAUGUUUACUUAGUCUAUGUCAAUGACUUAUGCAAGGAAAAGUUGAAAAUCUGUUACAAAAUAACUUGCCAUUCUUUCAUAAGCAAAUUUACUUCGUGCGCUCCUAUAGGGAGAAGGUGUUGAAGGUGGCCUCGUUUUCACACUUUUGGUUGGAUAAACGGAAGCCAUCAUCUAACACAAGAUCUAGCAACACUUAGUAUAGAAAAUUCACAAUCUUUCAUUGAUAUAAACAAUUGAAAGAGCAAUUACACGAGAACAUCAAAUUAGACAUUAGAGUCAAUGAGUUCUCCAUUCACUAACUCUCUGUAAGCAGCAACAGGCCAGAUGAAGCCUCUCCAGACGAGCCUGUUAGCCAAUGGAACAUCAAUGAUGAUCUCCUUCAUUGUUGGCUUCUUCUCAUCUCUUAUUGCAAUCAAGUAGCUCCUUCCUACCCACCCAAUCCAUCCAGCAAUGUACAAGAAGAGGAUCCCAGGAGUGAUGAACUCACCCCAGUGCCUCUGGUCUCCACUCACUAUCAGGUGUGGCAGUCCAUCCGAUCCGCACAACAGUCCUUGUUUCGCAUAGUUGUCAAAUCUGCAAUGUCAAUAGGUGAGUGACUUUGUAAGUGAAAUAAAACAUGGACUCGAGUAUCAAGGAGUUGGAAUCAAAUGGAAUGUUCUAUUUUUCUAUGUUUACUUAGUCUAUGUCAAUGACUUAUGCAAGGAAAAGUUGAAAAUCUGUUACAAAAUAACUUGCCAUUCUUUCAUAAGCAAAUUUACUUCGUGCGCUCCUAUAGGGAGAAGGUGUUGAAGGUGGCCUCGUUUUCACACUUUUGGUUGGAUAAACGGAGGACUAAACGAGUUUUUAUGAGCAUUAUCGGGUUCUAGAAUAUAUAUCAAAAAGGAAUUCUACAUUUUUAUAUUUCGGAGCUUUUUAAUUUUAAGCUUCUUAUCUUACUCGUAUGCUAUCAUAACUAUAAAAAUGUAAUGUCUGAGAUCACAAUUCUAAGAAUACUGAUAAGUGAGACUUGAGCACCUCCACCAAACCGGUAAGUGGGAUCACUGUUAUUCUCACCAAAAGAAGAAUCUAAGAAUACUAGUCUUUAAAGAAGAAAAAUUUGUACACAAUCAAAUACAUCCACAUAAAGUGUAAGAAUAUGAUUAAAUAGAAAAUGAUUACUAAGGACAAAGCAAGGAAAAUUUAGCAUAUAAGAAAGAAGGGAACUUUCAAGAUUCUUGCAAAAUUUAAAAGAAAAGGUAACAAAGACAAACCUGCGCUUAGUUUUCUCAAUAGUGGCAUUAAUAGCAAGUGCAGGAGCACUAUCAGGUGCAUACAGUUUCAAAGAAUUCUCAAGCUUCUUGAUCUGUUGCUUCUCCCUCUUAGCAAACUGCUUUGACUCCUUGCAAGGUGUGAGCCCAGAGAUGUCAGCAGAAGCUGGAAGCACUGGUGCUGACAAAAGAAUUGAAGACAAAGCAAGUGCUGCUGAGAAUGCUUUUAAUGAGGAAGAACUCUCAUCUGUCUUAGUAGAAGCAGGGGUCUGGUUUGAAGAGCAUACUAUGGUUGAAGUU
This 48421-nucleotide long non-coding RNA is filed under the name Capsicum annuum. RNAcentral's name for it is "long non-coding RNA (CANN_LNC003247)". Lineage: Eukaryota; Viridiplantae; Streptophyta; Magnoliopsida; Solanales; Solanaceae. The record is from RNAcentral.